RNAcentral lists this long non-coding RNA (60374 nucleotides) under Theobroma cacao (cacao). Its description in RNAcentral is "long non-coding RNA (TCAC_LNC002616)". Lineage: Eukaryota; Viridiplantae; Streptophyta; Magnoliopsida; Malvales; Malvaceae. The record is from RNAcentral.
AGAGACUCGACGUUAUGGGAAGAUCCAACAAGUUUUAAGCCUGAGAGGUAUGGAAAUGGAGAGAGGGAAUCAAACAAGCUGAUGCCUUUUGGAUUAGGAAGAAGGGCAUGUCCUGGAGCUGGCUUGGCUCAACGAGUUGUGGGCUUGACCUUGGGUUCAUUGAUCCAAUGUUUUGAAUGGGAAAGAGUUAGUGAGAAAGAAGUUGACAUGGCUGAAAGUGAUGGAACCACCAUGCCUAAAGUGGUGGCAUUAGAAGCCAUGUGUAAAGCUCGUCCCAUUGUCAACAAGGUUCUCAACGGAACUAUUUAACAUGGUUUUAUAUUUCUAAGCAGCUCUCCAAUAUAUACAAUUUGUGCAAUGUGUAAUAAUAAGGGUUAUCUCUCGUUAUGUGUGUAGCUUAAGCUUCAACAGAGCCUUCAUAUGUAUAAAAAAAUAUAUCUUUAAUAAGAUUUUAUUAUCUCCCCAUAUGAAUCCUCCUUCAAUAAUUAUUUGUAGAAGAAUUCCUUUAUUGAAUAAUAUCAUCGUCACAUAUUCUUGCUGGUGAUUUCACUAAACAAAGUUUGUCGAUGCCUAGUCAAGGAAAAAAUUGCCUCAAUUAUAAGAUGAAGGUCUUAGGUAAAUCUUAACUUUAAGAUGAUUAUUUUAAGAUAUAUAUAUAUAUAUUUAUAAUUGAAAGUAAAAAGAGUUAAGAAAUUGAAAAGCUUGCCCUAUUGUGAAUAAAGUUCUUCAUAAAAUUAUUGAUAAUGAUUAUUAAUUCUUAAAUUAAAUUGAAAACAAAUAUUUAUUUACAAUUUUAUCAAAGUAUUUUGUGUUUUAUAUUAUAAUUUUUUUUGUUUAAAGUAAAAAACUAAUAACAAACGUGACAACUAAAGAGAGAUCGAUAAAUCAUAAAAAUAUGUUCAAAUCUUUGACUUUUUACACAAUAAAAUAUGUUCAAGAUAUAUCAAUUACGUAAUUCAGAAUGAAACAUGAUUACUAUAAAGAUAAUUAUAAUGUCAAAGUAUAAUCUUCUCGUGCUUAAACAUUUAGUUAAAUAUUAAAUAUAGUACAAUUUUCAACAAAAAUAUUAAAUAUAGUAUGUAUUGUUUAAAAAAUUAAAAAAAAAAAAAAAGAAAAAAAGUCAUAAGUGUUUCCUAAGUAGCAUGUGAAGAUGUGGUCAAAAAAUAUGGAGAGGUGAGUUGAUGGACUGAAGCAUGAGAGAGAGGAAAUUGACGGUUGAUAAAGAAGUAACAAUCAAAGAGAGGAAGUUUCAAUCAUAGAAAGGUAUCCCUCUUCUCUUUUGCUAGAAGAGUAUCAUGUAUGUGCUAAUGCCUGGUUGAGCACGUUGUAUAACAUUAAUUAACAGCCAUGGCAGCCGCCAUUUCUUAAUGGUUUUUUUUUUAAAAAUAAGCCUUAUGCAUAAGGCUUUUUUAAAAAUAGGCAUUUUCAUAAUUUGAAGUGUUUUUAACCAAGAGAAAUAAAAUUGGGACAAAAUUAUCCUUAAUGAAACCGAUCCAUAUGUUUGGCUCCGCACCUCAACCUGAACCAUAAAAACGGGCCAAGCAUGUUUACAAGCUUUGUAACUUCUCAAUUCUCAUCGACAAACCAUACAUCUCCUUACAAAGCAUUCUCUCGAAAACAUUCAUUGUUGGUUCAACUGUCGAGCAUUUUGAUCCGUGAUAGAAGCAUUUUGAAGUGGUUUUUCGCAUAAAGAUAGUUCACAUAUUGAGUAGUGAGAGGAAGUUCACAUUUCGCGAAAAAAGGUAGGCAUAUAUUUUUAUUUUUAUUUUUAACCAUGUGGAGAAAGGUUUUGGGCUAUUCUUAUCCUUCAUGUUAUUCAUUUAUGGUUUUUGAGCAUAAACAUAGGCAUAUUGCAUGUUCAUAUUGAUAUUCUUGUUAUUUGAAAUUACUGAAUAUUAAUUUGAAGUUGGUAUUGUUGGUGUUUUUUGGGUCGAAAGUGUUAGUAUAAGCCCUACAAGCAAUCUGUGGUUGUAUGGGAAUUGCAAUUUUGAUAUAUUCAUGUAUGAAAUUUUGUUAUUCAUAAUAACAUUGAAGUAGUUCUUUAUCCAUAAAUUUGUAAUUUAAUUAUUUUUUUGUACUUAUUUAGAUAAAGCCCAUAGAACUAUAUAUGCCUUGCAAAAGAAUUGUAUUGGGAUACAAUUAUGAGAUCGAUAUGCAUUAAAGCAUGUUCCUAAAAGUUUCUGAUCAUUGUAUUAUUGAGACAGGGCAUCAAUAAUGCUCAAAGAUUGGCACAUGUUAUAUUCCUUACUUAUGAAGUAAGCAAUCGUUCUCAUAGGUUGAAGUAUAAAAAUACUUGAAACUAGCAUGUGGAUGCUUGCCAUGGGAGAGCGAGUUCACUGAACAUGACUCGGCAUGAGAAAUGCAUUUGGUAUUUCACUCAAGUGUCUAUGCAAUACUUCUCAUGUGUCAGUUGUAUAAAUACUCCCUAGACUUGAGACACCAGGUUUUCUUAUGUGUGGAGUUCUAUACUUUUAUUUCAUUCAUAUGGGUGCCUAACCAAGGAUGCCAAAACAGGACGCUUUUGGGUAUAGCAUGAGGCAUGUGAAGGCAGAUGAGUGGUCAAGAUAGGAAUCAUCACCCCAAGUGAUUCAAGAGGAAAUAUCUCAUUAGUUCUUGGUUAAUAUUAGCUUAAUCAAAUCCUUGGCCAAGGUGAUUAGGAGAUUAUGAAAUGAGUUUCAUAAGUCUCCAUAAAACUAAUGAUUUAACUGCAAGAACAAAUAUGGAGAUCAAUAAGAGUAAGCACUGCACCAAGCUCUUAUUAUCUUCUGGAAAUAUGAUGAGGGAAUGAAUUAUACUAAAAAACUGUACACUGAAAGGUUGUCAAAGAAUCCUUUGACUCUCUUAACAAUUCGGUGGCCAUGAUGCAUUGCUAGAUGCCAAUCAUGGUCUAUGGAAUUGAAUUAGUUAAUUUACAAUUGAAUAUGAUUCAUUUAAAUUAAUUAAUUAAUAAUAUUAUAAUUCAAUUCCAUUGUCAACAUGUUAGGAACCUAAUGGGUCACACACAAAGGUUACAAUUUGGAUUAAAUUGAGAGUGUGAUGAUUUAAGUUAAACUUAAAUCAAAUUCUAGGUUUUAACUAUUAAGGACCUAAUUAAAAGAGUUUAAUUAGGUAUUGGUUAAAUAUUAUAAUUGUUAUAAUAUUAAGGACUUAUUUUGUAAAUUUUAAUAAGUUAAACGUAGAUAUAAAUAUCACAUUAUAGCCACUCUUUUUUUUGUGGAGAAGGAUUUUUCUCUUGAGUGCUGCCACUCUUGAGACGUUUAUUUUUCUUUUGAAAACUUCUCCUUUGAUUCUUUAUUAGAAAUCAAAGAAGAAAAGAGGACAAAUCGUUGUCCACUUGCUAGCACAAGCCCGUGGCAUAAAGCUCUCUCCUUGAGAAGGAUAUGUUGUAAUCGUGUGUGCAUCAUUGGAGGCCAAGCAAUUGAGUGGCUAGGAUUCUUUCACACCAAAGGUGUUCGUGUUUUGUCACUAAAAGGAAUCCAUUUGAUUACGAUAUCACUUAGAAAGGUACAUUCUUUUUCUGGUUUUAUGUGGUACAUAACUUUGCAUUAAACAACCAAGGUGAUCCAAAGGUAGGAGGCAUGGUUUAUUUUUAUUUCAACCCUUUUUUUAUUUCGCUGCAUUGAUGCUUCAAUCAUGCCGUUCCUAGCAGAAAGGUGAUAGGGCAUGCAUGAUUGGUUGAUAGGAAUUGAGUUUAGGGUUUAGGUAUUGCGUGAUUGAGGGUUUGCGUGAGUGGUUAACACUUUAUGCAUGACUGAAUUUAGGCAUGGCGUCACUUAGGAUGUGUGUGAUUGGGUUAGGCAUUGCAUUUAGGGAUUUGGCAUUAUGUGACUGGUUGAUAAGUCAUUGUUUGAUUAGUUGAUAGGUUAUUACAUGACUAGUUCAAAAGGUUAAUAGAAUAUUGGAUAGCCAAUUUUAUUAAAGUUUUACAAUGAUUUUUCCUUUUAGCACCUUGGAAAAAACUUAUCAUCACAAGAAGCAAAUCAUAUUUCGCCAUCACCAGAUGUUGAAAUGUGUUUGAAUUAUUUUCCUCAAACACUUGAACCUUAACAUGAGAAAAUCAUGCAAGCCUUGAAAGAAUAUAAAGAAUGUAUCCUUGUCCCUUAUGAAUGAUCACAAAAUCUUUGGGAAUAUGGUGAAAUAUCGCAAAAAAGAUCUUUCAAGGAAAAUUUUUGCAAAAAUAUCUAUUAAUAGAACUCACAGUAGAAUCUUAAUGAAUAAAAAACAAAAAGCAUGUCAUAUUUGUCACAAGACAUGCAUGACUGGUUGAUAGGCAUGCGUGAUUGUUUGAUAGUAAUUGGGUUUAGGGAUUUUGGGUUUAGGUGGCUAAGGUUUGCAUGAGUGGUUAACAUCUUAUGCAUAACUGGUUUUAGGUAUAGCAUCACUUAUGGUGUGUGUGAUUGGUUAGGCAUUGCGUUUAGGGGUUUGGCAUUACGUGACUGGUUGAUAGAUUAUUGCGUAACUGGUUGAUAAGUUAUUGCUUUACUAGUUGAUAGGUCAUUGAGUGACUAGUUCAUAGGAUCAAUAGAAUAUUGGAUAGCCAAUUUUGAUGAAGUUCCACAAUGAUCUUUCCUCUUAGCAUCGUGAAAAGAACUCAUCAUCACAAGAAGAAGAUCAUAUUUGGCCAUCACCAGAUGUUGAAAUGUGUUUGGAUUAUUUUCCUUAAACACUUGAACCUUAACAUGAGAAAAUCAUGCAAGCUUUGAAAGAAUACAAAGAAUGUAUCCCUGACCCUUCUGAAUGAUCACAAAAUCCUUAGGAAUAUGGGGAAAUCUCAUAGAAAAGAUCUUUCAAGGAAAAUUUUUGUAAAAAUAUCUGCUAACAGAACUCACGGUAGAAUUUCAAUGAAUAAAAAACAAAAACCAUGUCAUAUCUGUCACAAGACAUGCAUGACUGGUUGAUAAGCAUGCAUGACUAUUUGAUAGGGAAUUGGGUUUAAGGGUUUAGGUGACUAAAGGUUUGCGUGAGUGGUUGACACAUUAUGCAUGACUGGUUUUAGACAUGGCGCCACUUAAGGCAUGUGUGAUUGGUUAGGCAUUGCAUUUAGGGGUUUGGCAUUGCGUGACUAAUUGAUAGGUUUACUGGUUGAUAGGUCAUUGCGUGACUAGUUCAUAGAAUCAAUAGAAUAUUGGAUAGCCAAUUUUGAUGAAGUUCUACAAUGAUGUUUCCUCUUAACAUCAAGAAAAGAACUCAUCAUCUCAAGAAGAAUAUCAUAUUUGGCCAUCACCAAAUGUUGAAAUGUGUUUGGAUUAUUUUCCUCAAACACUUGAACCUUACCAUGAGAAAAUCAUGCAAGCCUUGAAAGAAUAUAAUGAAUGUAUCCUUAACCCGUAUGUAUGAUCACAAAAUCUUUGGGAAUAUAGGGAAAUCUCGCAUAAAAGGUCUCGUAUAAAUCACGCUUGAUAUGUAAAUGCAAAAAUACAUUCGAUUACCACUUAAUCGCGGUAUCGAUUAAAUUCGACCGAUCACCCAAUUAAUUGGCGGUUGUGUCCAAAUCACCUCUAAAUUAAUUCAUUUUUCCUCUAAUAUCUUAAUUUACCACAUACCAUUUAAAUAAAGCCAAAUUCAGCAUUAGAACCUUCACAGUUCCUUAUAGAAAAAUUCGAUCAUUUGGUGCACUAGCACCGAAAUUUUUUUCUACAUAACUGUUUCACAUUAAUUCAUCAUUUUCCAAGCCAUUUUCCUUGGAAUAAAAACAAUUACCCAUUGAUAUUCAGCCCUCAUGGUUCGACCAACAAGGAACCCUAGAGCAAUUGAAUAUUUCUUUUGUAUUUUUGUUCAUAACCAUGCUUAACUAUCCCUAAACACUAACAUAGUCUAAAAUCAAGUUAUUCCAACAACAAUUCCUCUUCCAUACCCAUUUUUCAAAAUUGAAUUCAUCAUGAUAACUCAAUAUUCAACCAUGGAAAUCAAGAACAAAAGCAUGGGUAAGCUAGGUAUCAAGAAGAAUUAAAGAAAUUUUAACCUACCUAGCUUGUUUCCUUGAUUUCUUAACUUUUUCUUUGAAUUUCCACCUAGGUUUUCUUGUUUUUCCCUUUGUUCUUCCUUUUUUCUUGUUGCUGGUUGUCUAGGCCGAGUAUGGUGAGAGAAUUGGAGAUUUAAUGGGCUGAUUUCUAUAGAAAAUAAUAAAAUAAUCAAGCAUGCCAUGUGUCACAUGCUUAUUGGCUCAAUUUUUAACUUUUUGACUUUUUCUUCUUAAUUUUCCACCACAAUUAUUCUGGUAUUUAUCCAAUCCUACCACAUUUAAAAUCCCUUGGUCUUGACAAGUGCUGGGGUGAAAAAUUUACCGAUUUACCCCCAAGGUGAAAAAAUUAUGAUUUUGCCCCUAUACUCCGAAAUGUAUCGAAAUUACAUUAUUUCUACUUUUCAACCUCAAAUAACACUAAUAUUGAUCAAUAUUAACCAAAUGGGGCAAAAAAAAUCAUUUUUUUAAUUCCCGUUUAGUCCUCUAAUGGAAAAAUUACCAUUUUGCCCUUGUACUCCAAAAAUACCGAGAAUCAUAAUUUUUCAUUGCUAAACAUCAUUUUAUACUCCAAUAAUCAUAAUUAUAUUUCAUAUAAUUAUUCUUGGUCAAAUGUGAUCAAAUCUUGGCUAGAAAUCUCCAUUUAAUCAUCAAAUGGUAAAAUGAUUGUUUUGUCCCGAAUCGAUCAAUUUUCCUGAUGGACUCCAACUGGACCUUAAACUCUGAAUCACUAUUCUAAGCCAUUCUGUGGGUUUCAAAAUUUUCAAUUUUCUCUUAGAAUUUCUAUUUGAACUAGUUCAAGGCUCAAUUUAACUUAGUUGUACCACUCGGUAUAAUACCGUCUUUUAAUCGAGCUUGAUAGGGUCUUAGAUAAUGUAAGUAAUUGCGUGACUGUUAUCUGUAUGGAAGUGUGUGUGAGUGUUAUAGGUACUUCAUUGCAUGAAUUUUAUCUAUAUAGCAUUGCAUGACCGUCAUUACAUUCAUUCUGUAUUAUUUUGGCUCAACUGUAAUGGUUUAAUAUGUAUAUGUUGAUUUACUUAAUAAUCCAUACUUCACACGUGCAUUAAUUUUGUUUUAGGAUAUGCAAAGAUUGUAAGAACUAGUUAUUGUUUUUUUAAUCUUCAUUGAUCAUAUUUACUAAAAUGGAAAUGUUAUUUAUUUUAUGUUGCAGAUAGCCAAAACAAGAACAGAGCAGAAGAAUGUGGAAGCUUUGCUUUGUGUGCGAAGGGACCAGUGGGGCUUUAACGCUGGCAUUAACAUUCAUUAUAAGUGGACGCAUCUGCAUGUCAUACGUGAGAUGUUGCGAAAAGUAAAUGAGUUGGAAGAAAUAAAGAGAACAUGCUUCAAGUAUCUAAUAAAUGUCAAAUCAAACAAGAGUUUAUACUACACUAAUCUCAUGCACAACCUAAUGCUGCACAGAAUCAAUCAACCUACCACCAUCGAGCGUGAGUUAUGGUUUGCCAUAAGCUAAACGAAGGCUCGAUUCUCGAAGCAUGAGUUCUGCCUGGUGAUAAGAUUGAAGUUUGGUACCUUGUUAGCCAUUAUUAUCAAUCCCUACGAGGCCGCCCUCGGAGGAAUUCACAAGUGAUAUUGAGGAGCGGGGAACGAGGUAAAGAUAUAACAAGUAUUAGAGACGUUCAAGAGAAGGUAGUUUUAGUUGUAUGGAGAUUGGACAAAGAUUGCCCUCAUCUUGAUCGUGAGCAAUGUUUUAUUUAGUCAAGACAACAGACAAGUAGUGAUUUCGUGGUUGUUGUCGCUGGUUUAGAACAUUGACCAGCGAAAUGCAUUCCCAUGAGGCACCUACGAAUGAAGUCUAACUGUGGAUUACUUGUUGAGGGGCUUCGAACCUCUAUUGGUGGGAGCAAAAGAAAAGAAACGUUACCAUCUAUACGAAUUUGUAAGGGGUUUCAAGUAGUGUGCCCUACCCUAAGGUUUUUCAUUUUUCUUUUUGCAUAAAAUUUUAUGAAACGAGUAAAAUGUUUUACAAUUGAUAUGCAAUUUUAGGUGUUGGAGGCGAUUCAUGAUAUUAAAAGCUAGUUUGAAAGGCAACGUCAGUCUAGACAGGUUUGUCCAAGAAUGCUGAAUUGGCAUUGUGACGAGAGGCCUAUAGGCUUCCACAUCAAUAUUGCAAGUUCGGAAAGGGAAGGCAAGGUGAGUCACGAAACCAUAAUGUUUUUAUUUUAUUUAAUUUUUUUGUCAUAUGUUAACUACCUUUCAACCUAAUGGCAAUGUAUGUUUUGGUGUAGUUACGCACAGUCGGGACAUUGAGCCAGCUACGGAAGAGAUGUUGAUAGCAUAUUGGGCCGAUGUUGAUGUCAAUAUCUCCAAAAGGCAACAAUACAUUCCAUUAUGAAGGGCAAAAGAGGAAGAUAAUGAACUGCAAAUAGAAAAGUGUGGUAAGAAGAGGCGUUAAGUGGAGUCACACCACAUAUGAGGAGGUUUAUGCCCAUUUUGGUGUUGCUGAAGCUCUUGGUGUUACUGAAGUGCUUGAUUUUCCUUUUGCUCAGAUACGCAACCCAUUGUUGCAUCCUCAAAUGACUAUAGGCUUUAAGUGCAAGAUGAAACGGAUGAGGACGUAGUGGAAGAAAAACCUACAGUCAAUAUAGAUAGAGAUGUAAAUGGACAUGUAGAUGCAGAUACAGUCCUUGCGGAUAGAGGUUCGGCUAGACAUUCAAAUGCAUAUACAGUCAAUGCAAUUGGAGAUCUAGCAGGAGAUGCAGCCACAGAUGCAAUCAAUGCAGCUAGAUAUCCAGUAAUCAAUGCAAGGGCUGGAGAAUUGGAUUGUUCGUAGACUGAUCGACUGUUAUUAGUUAUGACAUUCUAUCAUUUUUCAUUGUGUGAGUUAUAACAUUUACGAUUCAUUUGAUGUUUUAAUGUGUUUGAUUUUUGUCACUGUGUGGAAUCAGUCGAUUGGUGAACAGGAUGGUGUGUGCAAUUAGGAAGGCUACAGUAGUGGGGUUGAUCUUGAUGAGGUAGCUGGCAUAAAUCAGGCAAUUGCAUCGCCUCAAAGCUCACCUCUCUCUAUGUUGUUGAUUUCUCACACAAGUGCACGUAUCGCUAACAAGUAAUAUAGAAAUGAAUAGUAUCAUUCUCACGGAGAAUUGUUUUAAUUCCUACUAUUAACUACUAAAAUUAACACACCUUAAUUUUAUUCAAACAACUAAAUUUUAAAAUUAUUAAAAAGAAAAUUAAAACUACUAAACUGAAACUUCAAUCAACUACCAGACCUAAGAUUAUGAUAUCCCUCAAUACUUCAUUUGAUUAUUUGUCUCUCUCUCUCUUAACUCAGUUUAAUGAAUUAAGUUGCUAACCUAGAGUCCUAAAUUAGUUACAAGUUUUUAUCGAGUUUCUCAUAAAAAUAACUAUCCUAAUUAAUUUACUAUAUGUCUAUGCAAAUUAAAUUGAAGAAAGAUUAAUUAAGUUUGUGCUCUAAUCCUGGCUAUGUAUGACUUAUAGGUGUAUGUCUACCCUAUAUGUAAAUCAAAUCACCUAAUCAAUUAAGUUCAUUCGAUCAUAUGCUAUUCUAUUUAAGGUCUACCUAAAUCUCUUUCGUCAAAGUUUAACCUAGGUUUCCAAUUAAAUCUAAUUGGUGAUCAUGCAAUUAGAAGCAUUAAGAAUAAAAUAAAAUAAAUAACCUAAAUCUAUCCAACAUAAUCAAAAGAGAUAUAAAUAAUUUACACUACAUAAUGAGUUCAAUCAUAAUCUUAGAUAAAAAAUUUAGUUCCCUAUCAAGUCACACAUCAUCAUUGAAUAAAGUUUAAACAAUAAAAACAAACUAAGAAAAUAAAAGAAUAAUAAAAAAGAUAAAACUCAAGAAUUAUAAUCUUGAUCUUCAAAGUCUUCUUAAAUCCUUCAAAAUCUUCUUAGCUUCAAUGACUUUAUAGCUUGACUCUCAACUUUCAAUCUAGUGUUUCUCCUCGUUCUCUUCUUUUUAAAAGUCUUUCGAAAGGUUGGUUUUAUAGGCUUUAAAGUUAGGCCAAGUUGGGUGAAGAAAGAAGUCACAAUUCCAGCUAGGAUUUUCUCAUCAGACUAUGUAGGUCAUAGCCUUGCUCAAUUAAUUAAUAGAAAUAGUAAUUACUCUAAGACUGCUAUAGUACAUCAAGUUUGACAAGAGUUUUAACUACCUUUCAAGUCAAACUAGGUAAAAUAAUAAACAUAAAAUCGUAUAUUUUUCUUUUAUCUUUCUAAUGGUCCAAGAAUCGCUUCAUUUGGAGCUCUGUAGAAAACGUUAUAGCCAAAAUACCGAAAUAUGUGUAGUGUAAGUUUGCAUAUUGAAAUUGCUCUCCUUAUUUCACUAAAAUUCUUCUUUUAUCAAAUACCUACAAAAGCACAAAUAAAUUAAUAACAACCUAUCUUAACCACAUUAACACCAAAUUAAUCAUAAAAUUAACUAAGAUUAGAUUGACUCACCUAAAAUAACUAAUUUAAAAUAAUUAAAUAAAAUCUACUAAUUUCUAUGCAUUACUACAAGAAUUAAGCUAAAUUACUAUCAAAAUUAAGCCCAAAUAGCUCUACAUUAUAGAGUUAUCACUCUACCCUAAUCAAAAAUCAUCCUAAAAUCGUAAAUGCAACCGAGGCCUCACAUCUUGUGAAUAGUCCAAUUACAACUUCCCCAUAUCUUGCUUGUGUCCUAACCCCACCAGAAGCCCCCCCGGCAGUGUUAGAGCGCACCUUCUCCUGAGGCUCUACCUCAACCUGAAGUCAAAGAUGCGCGUGUGAGUAUGGCUAGCAGAUACGUACAAAGCCCAUACGUUAACUCACUAUUAGUCUAGUGCAAAGUAAAGUAUACUUUGAAGGAUGGAUAUGAGUCCUUCAUGAAAAACGAGCAAGCCAGGUAAAAUGAUAACAUUACACGAUAUUAGGAUUAACGGUUUGAAAUUAUUGAAUCCAUCGACCUUUUGAAGCGAGUAUUUUAUAUAUGCAGGGUUAACAUUCUAGGCAUCGUAGGGCAGAAGGGCCUUGAAUUUUUACACUGUUUGAAAAAGGCAGAAUGAGUGGUUGGACAACCAACACAUUGACGCAUGCAUCAGCAUCAUGUGUAAGCGGAAGCGAGAGCACCAUCUAUAACUCUACAAGCAGAAAAUAUACAUUCUUAACACCUACUUUUAUGUAAAUAUAUUUUAAUGAGUUGUAAUUAUUAAAAUAUGUGUUUAGGACUUUUGUUCAUGGCAUCUAACCAUUGAAUGUAACUUAAUUCACAGCUUAUUUUGCUGGGCUUGAGCAAUGAAAUAAAACCUUCCCUGGUUAAUAAGACCUUCAAGCCGAUCGAAGGCGAUUUUGUCAGAACUUCUACUUGAAUAUGCGAGGGUGGGAGUCCACUGUGGGGUUUGCCAUGGCAUGAGGUGGACUCAAUUCUCGUACCGUGCCAUUUUGACGACCAGUAGGUGUUAGUGCAUAUCAACUUGCUAAAAUGGAGUAUGACGUUAGUUGACUCAUCGUACAAUCAGAGAGAUGCAAUUAAAUCCAGCUUGCGUGUCAAGCCCGACCUUAUAAAAUACUUGCCAUGUCAUUCAUGUGAUUGACAAUAUGUUUGCAUACUUGGAAAGCCCUAAAAAAUCGUCAAAAGUCAGUAGUGUACCUAGCGGUGCAACUAAGUUGAAUUAAGUCUCGAACUAGUCCAAAUAGAGAUUUUAAGAUGAAAUUGAGAAUUUUAAAUUCUCAAAAUGACUUAAAAUGGUGAUUCGGAGUUCAAAGACCAAUUUGGAGUCAAAUUGGAAUUUUCAUGACCUAGGGGUAAAAUGGUCAUUUUGCCACCCGAGGUUAAGACGUGAGUGUUGGAUGAAAUUUUUGACUAAGAUUGAUCAUUUGGAGUAUAAUUUGAGUUUGAGAAGUGAAAAAUUUUAAUUUUGGCAUUUUUCGAGCAUAAAGGGCAAAAUAGUCAUUUUGCCACCCUAGGGGCAAAAUUGUAAUUUUACACCACCCAACACUUGUCCAACACAUGGAUUUUACCCAAUAUUAUCAUGGAUGAUUGAGUAAAUUUAAGUGGUGGAGAGAGAUUCCUUAAUGGCUAAGUAUGACACAUGGACCAAUGAAAUGGUGACAUGUGUCAAAUUCUCAUCCAUUAAUUAUUUAGCUUAAAAAUUAACACAAAAUCAGCCCAUUUCUCUUCAUAUGGCCGGCCAAAGGAAAACCAAAGGAAGAAAAGAAGAACAAGAACCCUAAGGUGAAAAUUCAAGAGAAAAAUUGGUGGAUUUCAAGUAAUCAAGCAAUCAAAGGUAAAAUUUCUUGAUUUUGACUUGUGAUCUACCUUUCCCAUGCAUUCUUUUGCAUUUUCCAUGGUUAAGAAUCAAGUUUUCAUGAUGAAUCCCUUGCUGGCCGAACAUCUAGGAGAGAGAAUUUGAUGAUGAUUUGGUUAGAUUUUAAUAUAUUUUGGUGUUUUUAGUUAAUUAGUGAUGUGUAGCAUGAAAAGCAAACAAGAAAAAUUCAUUUUCUCCCAUUACCCAUCAUUGGCCGAAUUUUCCUUGUAGAGUGUGGAUGGUGGAUUUGAUUUUAUUUCAAGUGAAUUGGUUAGGAAAUGAUGAAUUAUGGUGAGAAAAUCAAGUAGAAAAAAUCAUGGUGUUGAUGCACCCACCAUGGCCGAAAUUCUCAAGAGAAAACGUGGAGAUGAUUUUGCUAAAUUUUAUGCUAUUUGACUCGUGUUUGAGGAUUUGGAGAAUUGGAAGAAAAAUGGAGUUAAUUGGUGUUGAAUUGGACAUAUUGGCCAAUUAAUCAAGUGAUAGAUCGAAUUAGGCCAAUACUGUAUUAUUUAGGUACACAAUUGAAUUUGUGUAGAACACCGUGUGUAGACAAUAAUCCGAACAAUUUGCAUCCCAUUUCAUACAUUAGUAUAAAGCCUGAAUUGGUUUUAUAACAAUUUAGCACAAUGUAGUAAAUGGCUUAUUGUGCAUUAUGUCUAGGUGGUGAGCAUUCUGGAAAAAGUAAAGAGAUAGUAUUAGAGGAUCAAGAAUCGGAGUACUUGGAAUUCGACUCCCGAAAUAGUGAGUAACCUUACUAUCGUUUUAAUUAUCUAAAGUGGUUUUUAUCCGAUUUUGUGAUUUUAUGGAAAAUGAGUUUAAAUGGUAAAUCUUUAGGUUUUAUAAACAAAAUGUGUUUAAACGAAAUGAUUUUAUAAAUUAUCUUGAAAUUGAAUGAUGGCUUUGAAAAUAGAGUAAUUGAAGACCAUUUGAUGUAUUGUGAAUUUAUGUUUCUAAUUGAUUAGCUUAUGAUAAUAUUGGCAUGAAUGGUUGAAUUGGCAAAUGUGCUGAAAUUGUAUGAACUGUUUGUUUUGCCUUAACAGGCUGGGUAGUAAUAUAAAUUGCCAUGUCAUGCUGUCGAAACUUUUAUUGAUUUGGCGGGAUAUCGAUUAGCUUACUGCAGUGGGCGGGUUUCUGUGGACCAGCCUAUUAGAGGGGCACGGUAAACCCUAUUAUAUUUUACCUCGGUUGGAGAGACGAGUAGGGUAACUCUCGAGGUAUAACUUUUAGAGUUCACUUCACACCAAACCACCACGUGAGGGGGAACUCAGCCAACGCCAAGGAACGGCUAUGUUUUCAAAAUAAAAGCAUGAUUUAUGCAUACAUAACUUUUUAAUAGCCUUGGCAGACUCGGUUGGGAUAGCCCUCGAUCAAGGCAUCCCUGAUAACUGGGUAUGAGAAUGAUUUUGGCACGAGCCAAAGUUUUAAGAAAUUCAUAAGCCAUGUUCAUUACUCGAUUUAUAUGAAUUGAUUUUAUUUGGUUGAAAUGAGUUGAAAACUGAUAAAUUACAAUAUGAUGAUUUAUUUUAUCUGUCUCCAUUUACUCAACUUUAGAUAUUUUAGAUGGUAUUUGUUUACUCAUUGGGAUUAUAUAAUCUCACCACCCUCCUUUCCACCCAUUUCAGACUCACGAUAGUCUAUAGAUAGCUGAUUUCAUCGAGGACUACCAUUAGAUUUGCAUCCUCCAAACUGCAGGUUCACAGUUUUUCUUACUUUUGGUUAUUCGAGGGCCCACUUGUUACUGUAAAUUAAAUUAAAUACUCUGACUUACUAUAUUAUAGUAUAUAUGAAUUUAUUUUGCUUUUAUGCUACAAAAAUUUAUUUACGUAGUGUUCUAAAAAUAUGGUUUUAAGAGAAAAUUGAAUAUUUUAUUCUAUAUUUUUAUUUUAUUCUAAUAGUUAUAAUUUCAUUUUAAAUGAAUGUUUUAGACAUCCAAAUUUAUUUUUGAUAAUGAAAUAUGUGUUUUGUACUCGCCUACUACAUUUUUAGUUAGUUUCGAGAUUUUUGAGGAAAAAUGACCAAAAUACCCCUAUGAGAAAAUAAUUAUUUUUCUAUUGAUUUGAUUUGGAAAUAGUUUAUAAUCUCUCAAAACGUGAUACUUAACAAUUGUUGCUCACAAGAGAGGUGCGAAAACUGAUAUUAAAGCCUUGCGAGGUUUCGGUUGGCAUUCCGGGUAGUGAAUGUCUAUCGGGACGUCACGGCGGUUGUCACGGGUUCGAGGGGAGUACCGAGUCGUGACAUUGCAUGAUUAACAAAUGGGUCCACUAAUGGUAUUGUUUCCCAUUAUAUGCCAUCAGGUCAGGGUACUUUGACUGUGCAAGUCAUCAAAAGUGAUCUCAGACAAGGAUGAGGUCUCAAUUAAAUGGAAAAAAACCCCAAUACAACAAGAUUCACAUAGUUACAACGAUCGAGUUAUUCCUUCUAUGCAGUUGCUGAUCGGUACAAAGCACCAAAACUUGAAAGCAAAUGCCAUAGAAGGCCUUCGAAAAGUUUUGCUUAGAGAUUUUUGUAAAUAGUAUGGACAGUUAAUUUUUUAAAUUUGUUUAUUCUUUUUCCUAAUAAGUAAGGUAACAUUGUUGUGUAUUAUCUCUAAAUUAGUCUUUAUUGUAGUAGUUAACAGAGAAAAAGAUGAUAAGAAUAAUUUGAGAUUAUUUCCUCAUAUGAUUUCACACUAACAAUGUACUGUCAAUAAUGUUUGUAUACAGAGAAUUGAAUAAAAUAUAUCUUAUGCAUUUACAGAAUCUUUUCCACAUUUCGUUUUGUUAAUCUGUUACACAUUAUUAGGCACGACCUAUUUAUUAUUUUGUAUUUGUUAUAUAAAUUAUAAUGACCUUCCCCAGAAAUUCACUUGUUACAAUAUUCUCAUCAAAUAAUUCUCAUAAGUUGAUAUAUUGCAUCACGUGAUUGGAUUUGAAAGGAUUUGACUCAUCGAUUUUGAAAGAACUACAUGACACAUGCAUUGCAUGACUGUUUUUUAUUCAUUCUGUGCGUAUUUGAUAGGGCAUCACAUUACGUUCUUUGCAUGCCUGACGUGCUUGUUCUUCAAACAUUGCGUGAUUGAGUAAAAAGGUCAUUGCGUGACUAGUUGGUCUGCAUAGUGUGACUUAGGGUUUCAUAACUAGUAUGUGAGAAGCAUGGAUGGCCAUUUGAUAAACCUCUUAAGCAGGGCAAUUUUCAUCUAGCAUUGCGUGACUUGUAUAAAAAUGCAUUGCGUGACUUGUUUAUGUGGCAUUUUGUUACUUGUAACUAGAUUCCACGUGUAUGGUAUGUAUAAAGCAUGAGAAUUUUCAUCUUUUGUGAUCAUCUUUCCUAAACCACUUGCUAUUUGUCUCCCAUAUCCUCUCAAUUCAACCUCAUCUUUCAUCAAUUUCAAGCUUCAUGCCUCAAACAUUUCAUCAAACCCUAAACCCCAAAACCAAUUGACUCCAUAAUCUUCACUUUUCCACUGAAGCUUUUGUCCCAAAUCACUCACAUUUCCUGAAACCCAACGAUGAGUCCAAGCGCCAAACGAACCAAAUCAAUCGCUAACCAAGCAUCAAGUAACUCUACUAGAGUUGGUUCUUCCUCUUUCCCUAAUGAGAGUUUUUUCAUUGCCAACUUCACUAAUGUGUAUCAUGCCCAAAAAUUCAGAGAUAACUUUGGCAAACGAAAGGUAAUGCUGGGGCGCAUUAUUGACUUUGAUUAUGUGGAAUCCAUUAAUUUUUCAUAUCUUAAGAAUAUUGAGAAUUUAGGGUGGACUUAUUACUUGAAAUUGAACAGAAUGUAUUGUGAGAACUUGGUUAGGGUUUUCUAUUUCAAUGUGACUCAUGAGUUUCCUAAUUCAGAGUCCGAUCGAUUAAUAUCCCAUGAUGAUAUGUUUGUCACUCACAUCAUGGGCAAAUGCAUUAUCGUCACUCAUGCACUUAUUGAUCACAUCUUCCAAAUUAACACCUACAUCGACGAUUUUAGGUAUGUUUCUAAUGAUGGCAACGUCUAGUCCACUUUAGUUUUUCCUCCUCCUAAUGACGAAGGUGGCUUUAGUUGCAUGAGGCUCUGUUUCCCUGAUCUUGUCUUCCACCUCAUCAUCAAUCAUACCAUCUACCUUCACUUUUUCAACUACUCCACGACUAAGAAAGAGGAUUUUUGGUUCCUCUUUAACAUCAAAUUUAACCACCAGAUUAAUCUCGCCAAGUUUAUAAUGGAUGACAUGCUUCACACCAUCAGUGGGGGCAUAAAAAACUUCCUUUAUGGUAUGUUGGUUAGUGAGAUAAUCGACUUUUCUACCGUCGACAGUCGGUGUGAUCACCCAAGUCCCAUACCUUUUUCAUCCCUAUUGAGGAGCAUACUAUUAAGAAAUUGGGAUUUGAGUUAAAGAAAGCAGUUGAUAAGGUUGAUGAUGGCUAAGAGGGUAAUGAGAGGGAAUGAAACAUUUACCACACUGACCCGUCCAUUGCUUAACCUAGUGCAUCGCUUAUGGCAACCUCCUUUGAUGCUAAGCAUGCCUUCAUGCGGCUGUUUUCAUUCAUAGAGACCACGGAAUCACGCAUGACUGUGUGUAUAGAUGUGUUAGAUGAGUGAACCUAUGAAUUUUGCAGCGCCAAUGAGACUUGAAGGAUGAUUUGCAUUCCCACUUUCCACCGCCACAGUGAUCUCCAUGUAUCAUGCCAUUACAGAUUUUUUUUUUCUUGAUUUACACAUAAUUCGGAUGUUUGUUCAUAUUUUAUUGUUCGGCUUUUGAUUGAUGUUAUCAGUUGUAAAUUAAUGUGUUUUUUUCAAUAUUGUUUGGUUUAGGUUUCUCUGUAAUGUUUAUCUUGAUGAUCUCCAUCAUGUAUUUCCUACAUUAAAUUUUUUGUUAAUGUCUAAGUAGGUAGGGUAUCUUGAAUCUUUCAACACCAUACAUAUAUGUGACAUUGGUUAAUAUCUUGAAGCCUUUAAUGUAACAUAUAUAUCUGGUGUUUAAAGCUUCAAGAUACGUUGAAGGGAAAUAUACAUUGCAGAACAUCGAAAUUACACCCAAUGUUAACCCAAUAUUGGAAAUAAAUUUUUUUAUUUCUUAGUCAUAUUUUAUCUUUUGUAUAUAGUUUACACACUUUACAUGCUAGAGUCAAUGAUUAUGUAUAUGCCAACAGCGUGACUUUUGGACUGUGUGACUAGUUGGUCGGGUAUUGCGUGACAUCUUGGUAAGGCAAUGCGUACCUUGUCAAUGCUUUCUGCAUGACAAGUUUAUAUGGCAUUGCGUGAAUGGGGUGUAGUCAUUGUGUGACUUAGGCAUUGCAUGAAUGAUGUGUAGUAAUCGUGUGGCUGGUUGAUAUGAUAUUGCAUGGCUAGUUAGUAGGUGUCACGAUCCAAGUUCCAGGCCAUGACCCGCGCAUGGGCCCAAUGGACGUAGUCCACUAAGCCUAAGCAAGCCUAUUAAUCUGACAUGUUUAUCAUUCUAUUAUAACUGCUAAGUCAUAUUUCAUAACUUAGAAUCAAAAUAAUAUUGAACAUUGCCAUCUCAUACUGACAUACCAAACAAGUGUAUAUACAUUGUCUACAACAUGUAUCUUAAUAAUUUACAUUAGGUUCAUCUAUACACAACAAAAGAAUACUCGACUUCCAACGGAGACACUCAGAUGAAUGUACAGCUACUGAAUGCCGAGACACCUACCAAAAGAUGGAUACAAGUCUAUGAGGACACCUCGUCCUAGUUACCAGCUACCUCUCGAUCUGAAAACAUGAAGUUUAAAAACAGUGAGUAUAAACCCAGUGAGUGAACAAGAAGGGAACAAGCAUACCAUAAGGAAUGUUUAACAAAAUCAUGAUGCAUUCUUUUUUCAAAACAAUGCAAUUUAUUUAGUUCUAAUUAAACCCCUCAUGUAAACCCCACAUGAGUAAAUCACUUUAUGAAAGAGUCUAUGCUCAACAAAAGGAUUUGGAGAGUGAAAACUUUAAUUCAUACGAAUCAAGUCAAAUAUACGACGGGUCCUCGCUGCAGUGACACUUGACCUAAAUUCUUAACUAUCCGAGGGUUUCUUAACUGGCCAAGGGUUUCUCACCAAACCUCCUCAUUUAAACUUAGUUAGAUAGUCCCCAAACAUGUUGGAAGUCCAUGCUCCACUAUGGUGUUAAAGGGGCGAAAAAUAUGGCAAAAAUCAGUAAGGUAGUCAAGCAGGACAGAAGGUUUCUCACUGCAGCGAGAUUCUUUCUCAUUGCAGCGAAAUUUGAUUGGACAAACAGAGAGUUCCUCGCUGCAGCGAGAUGCUACAGUAACUAUCUCGCUGCAGCGAGAUCCAAAUCUGGUGAAAAUCCUCACAAUCCAAGAGUUUCUCGCUGCAGCAAGAAUGAAUUUCACUACAGCGAGAACAGAGCAACAAGAGAAAAGUUUUCCCUCACUCAACAAAAAGGCCAUCUUGCUAAACCAACAAAAUCAACAUAAAACACAUGCCAAUUCCCAAAGUGCAAUGUAUUAAAUUUCACAUAUAUGUCAAUCAUAUAUCACAUUCAUGAGCUUUCAUUUCAUAAGUCUAGAUAUGCAUAAUUGCAUAGAUAAACAUCAAUAUCAUCAUAAUCACACCAGACUCAUGUACAUCCCCCCACAUCGUGCACAUAGUCGGCACCAUCAUGUGCAUCCCCCCACGUUGUGCACAAUCAGUGCCAUCGUGUACAUCCCCCCACAUCGUGCACACGGGCAUUAUCGUCAUCCAUCUCUCACGUCACCAACAUCACCCGUAUAUGCAUUCCCCCUCAUCAUGCACACACACGGUUAUAGUCAUCAUACUCAAUAUCAAUCAUCAUGCACACACACAUAUAUAUAUAUCAUCUUAAUGUCAUAGUGCAUGAAUCCAUAGCAAUCACAUAUCACAAUAUAAAACCAUUUAGUAAAAGCUUGUUCCCAAGGCACUUGUUUUCAUGAAAAACUUGAUAAUUCAUUCAAAUGUGAGGCAAAUACAUUAUAUUCCCCAAAACAAGUUUUGAAGGCAGUCCACUCACCGGUAUAUUGUUGAGCCUUUAGUUGACUCUCAUUUCCCCUAAUGAUCCAAUUGGAGUAAUGGGGCUUCGUUAGAACCUACCAUCAAAUUAACAUUACCAUAAUGUCAAUUCAUACUUAUAAACCCUAAAAAGCUAUCUCUUAGCUAGCUUUCAAUUGCCACUUUGAAUGGCUAUUUAUGUUCACUAUCUUAAUUACUAUAAAAUGAAUGAACAUCCUUAACAAUAAAACAGCUCAUAAUUCCAAUUACUAGCCAUUUUCUACAGCUAAAAACCGAGCUUAGUUCAUCACUCACCCUUAGGUUUCUUUGUAGUUGAAUUCUCUUCUAAUAGCUUCCAAACAAAUGGGGUAAUUCUUUUUUUCUCUCUCUAGAAUGCCUAACUAGUGAGAGAAAGUAUGGAAAUAAGAUUUAUCAAGGGUUUUGAAGUGAGAGAGUGAAAGAAUACAAGGGUUCUAGUCAAAAGGGCACAAAGGCAUGAAAAUUAAAGCUAGUGAGAGAAAAUCAUGCAAGCUUGAAGAAAACUCCAGGAAUUGAAGAAACAUGAGAGGGAAAAAGGAAGAAGAAGACAAGCUACUGAAAAAUGGGAGAAGAAGCUGCUGAAAGCAAGGGAUAUUUAUAGCCCAAGCUUAUCUAUUCCCUUGAAAUUACGAAAAUGCCUUUGACUAGUUAGUUUGUUCUCAUGCAACCCUUUGUGCAAUCGUUUUACUCUUUUAACACUGAGACCAAGUCCAUAAUGGUCUAGACAUGUUCAGGUUUGCGAAACUUUUAAAAAUUUUGACUUGUGUGCAAAAUGAUCAUUUUACCCUUAUUUUGAAAAUUAUUGUCAUUUCUAGUUUUCUUCAUAUUUUCAUCAUUACACAUCAUUUAUACAGUCUUAUGCCUAUUUAGACCUUAAAAUAUAAUAAAACUUUCUUCUAGGAGCUUAUUAGAGAAAAUGAUGAAACUACCCCUGGACUGUGUUAUUGUGUCUAUGCCUAAUUACAAGCCUAUAAAGGUUAAGGUCUCACAGUAGGCCUCCCUUGAUUCACUUGUUGCGUUACUUGUUCAUUGAAGCAAGUGAAGGCAAUUACAAUGAACAUCAAUAGUAUUAUGUGACUCACCUUCGAUACGUGACUUGUCGAAUAAUAAAAACAAUUAAAAUGGUCAAUAUAAAACCAUGAUCCACAGAUAAUAACCAUCAUAACAUAAUAUCCAAUAGAAUACCUAAACCUUAAACCAAAAGUAUUCGAAAACACAUUAAAGUUGAUCCACAUAUUACCAUAAAAAACAUACACCACAAAUUGUUUAGCAAAUAAAUGACAGUAUCCCUAACCCAAUAAAAAAAUUGUUCAUCCCUAAACCCUAUGUUAAUCUUUCCCUACUCUACUUGACUCAAUUAGAACCAAUGACAACUGCCUUGCCUUUUUUGUGAGUUUCCUGGGGGACAAACUCUUCUCUGCUAUUUCUUUCGACCCCACUUUUGUUGCUCGAUCAAUUGUAUCUGUUCUUUGCACUAGAAAAUUCUCAACAUUUUGUAACUUCUCUUUUAAUUUUUUCAUUCGACCAGUAUACUUAGUGAGUUUUCCAUCAAUCUUCAUAAAUAGAUUAUACAUCACAUCAUUUGAAAUAGGAUCUUGAAUAACUCAACUCGAAUGAGUGGAAGAAGUAACAUGGUUAAGAAGAACUAGGCUACCUUCGAUAGAGUUGAAUGACUGAUCAACAACAAUCUCAAAUCCCUUUUUUCUAGAGCCAUUCAAUUGAGAGAGUACGAGCCUUACUACUGGUCCAAUCAGCUAGGUACUUAUUGCUCCAGAUCCUUGUUUUCUUAACUAAAGCUAAUAUGAUGUUUCCAUAUGGUAGAUUCGUCUUAUACCCUAAGGCAAUUCCUUUCAUUCUUUCAAUCAUACAUUGUGCAACAUUCACACCCAACUGGCCUCCAAUGGAUUCCAUCAUCCACAAGUCCUCAAUGCUAACAUAUCUUAAACAAUUGAUCCCUUCUCGUAGUGUGGAAGUUAUAAAAUUAUGGAAAAGCUUAACUUUUGCAUAUUGCAAAUGACGAGCAAAACAUGUAUUUGUGGGGAAUUUUUUUGUUCUUCCUGUGACUACUGCUCGCAUGUGAGACGAUUCAUCAAAUAGGGGAAGCGUGUCUUGUCCAACUUUGUACUCCAUUUUCAAGAGCUUUCCAAUCUCGAUGGCAGUCACUUUAAACUUUAUUCCUUCCAAAAACAAGUACAACCCAAACUUUACAAAAUCAGUAAGAUUUUCCAAGUCAUCUUUACUCCAAGUAAUGCUAGAGUAAAAUUCCCUAACAAGGGUCAAGCUAUAAUCCCUAUUUGGAAAAGUAUUUAGACCCUUAAGUUUAGUCUUCUUAAAUAACCUAUUUAUUUCAUGUUCAAGGGUUAUGGUUUCAUUAAAGCUUUCCUAAUCUACCACUUUUCCACAUGAUAUAAUGGCAUUCUUUAUUAUCUUAUGCCUAUCAGCAUGUGCUUUGAAACGAUGAUGGAAAGUUACCUUGUUCGAUGGAAAAAUUGAUUGAUGCGGCAAGCAACUCAAAAGCCAGUUUCCAUUUCUUCUUGGAUCGUAGAGUAAAGUAAUCCUCAUCACGUCUAUUUUCUUGGACAUUGUCACUAACAUUGCUAGUGCUAGAAGAUACAACCAUUGAUUUCGAUGUUGUUGGAGGCUUCGAGUUUCUCAACUGAACUUACACCUAGAGAGGGUUAAAAGAUUUUCAAUGAAUUCUAGGUUAGGGUUUUUCUGUAUUAUGCAUUUUAAAUAUGAUGCGUUGUGAUGUGUGAUAUGUUAACUCGUUAGCCCAGGAUUUGUGUGGGUGGCUUUCACGUCCUUUUCGUUUUUAAUAAUUUUUUCCCUUCCAAAUUUUCCCUUAUAAUUUUAAACCAAAUAACGAUCAUAACUUGAGAUUGUGCAUCGUGUGACUAGAUUUCAUACGAAUCACGUGACGCAGGCAUUGAGUGAUUCGUUUUCAUUCGUUGCGUGAGUCAUGCAAUAACUUAAUAUUAUGCAUGUUAGUGACAAUUACUCCAUAUUAGGCACGUGACUUGUUCACAUAGCAUGACCCCAUAUUAGGCAUUGCGUGACUAGUUCUUAUGUAUAGUAAUACUUCUUGAAUACAAUGACAGGUUUUGAAAGAAUUUCGGAUUGCUUGAAACCACGUCCUUAAUUGCAUUACGUGAUUUAGACCGAAUCUUGUUGGCUUCCAGCUAUAAUUGAAAAGCAAGACCAAAAGUAGAUUGUACAGUUGAAUUUUACACAACCAAGCCAAGUAUCUUGCUAACAAUAUCGUUCCAUGUUUGAAGCUAUAGUAAAAAGGGGUAAGGAAAGAAAAUGAAGCAAUAUGAUUUCCUUUUGGGGGGUAUGCUAUUUUAAUUGAUGGGUACGUAGAAAGGUACUCUUCGACCCAUUAAUUAGACUGAAUACUUUAAAUCUCUCUCUUACAUUUAAGAUGACAGAAUUUCUAAAUCAGGGAAUCCAUACUGUAAACGCCAGUACCUAGUCGAGUCAUUCAUCAUUUCAAUUUAUUUUGAUUUGUUAGCCAAGUUAUCAGUAGGCUUUAAUAUAUAUUUGCAAACUUGGAAAUAAAUAUUACCCUGAUGACUAAACUAAGCAUGAUAAAAUGUAUGUAAGCGAUUAAUUUGAUCUCUUCAACCUCGAUAAUCAUCAUAAUCAGGCUAUGAAAAAUGUAUCUACACUUUCUAAACUAUGUGAACUGUUAAAGAAGCCAUGAAUAUCAAAAGUUCACUUCCUUAUUGAUAGAUUGAUUUGGCUUGUCUUUCUUAAACCUAAUUUCCACUAUAAUUUUUGCCCUAUGAAAUCUCUUAUGAUUUUAUUUUAUUAGCACAAUGAUAAACAAAUUAUAAACAUGUACAACGCAUUUGAUGAUCCCAAAAUAUUAUUUUGAUAGGCGUACAUCUUGAUAGGGAAGUUGUCAGACGUCAGAGUAUUAUCUCUAGGCUGGGUCAAAUUCCAAAUGAAAUAGUAUUAUUCAAUGCAAAACUUAAGGGCAGUGUGGAUACAAUAGACCACAAUUGCUGAGGAGCCACUACCUUUGGCUACGACACCCAUACGUUCUCAAAGUUUCUCAUUCUCAUUUGAUAGUUGUUUCGUGCAUGCCCGGUUUAUCUACAAAUUGAACAUGCCUUCAAUCAUCGUCAUCUUCAUCAUCAUUCAGCCACUAACUAAGUAAACGAUGGUGCCGAAUUUGUCAAUGGACCUGCAAACAACAUUAGGCAAUUUUGUCUAUUAUGACUGUAGCUCUUGAAUUAUGAACAUUUACGUCGUCGACUACUUUCAUCAACUAAUGGAAUCCUUUUCCUCAUAGGUCGUCCCACUGAACUCACCAAGUUGGUGGCAAAACAACAAUUUGUUAAACAUUGGGGGGGAUGUCCCACUUACUACAAUGCCCAACCAGGUGAAUGGGAACUGCAUAUCCCUCCACCCAAGACCAAGUCUUGUAAUAGUUUAAGCAGAAUUCAAUGGUUGCACAUUUACACUUACUACUAAGACAAUGAAAUCACAGUUGGGGAACUAUUUAAAAUUUCAAUUCAUUACAAAGUAAAUAAGAAAACAUGUAUAUUCAUACCUUAUUGCCGCCAUGGCAUGCGUGCAAGGGAGUAAAUAGAUCUGAAACUCAUCACAUGAACACGUCUUGAUGGACAGUUUGACGACUCUGUCCUUAGUCUGGGCUACAACUUGAAACUCCACUCAAUCGGUUGCUUGUGUAGAAAAGUGAUAUGCUUCAUUGAACGGUGUGUUCAAUAGAUUAGUAGCCCAAAGGUUGAAGAGCAUGAUCAAAUUCAAGGACUCCUUCUGUCGGUCAUGGAACUAGCGUUGGAACAUACCUGCGAUGCACUCAAUCAAGACGGUUCUUGGCAUUUUUCUUGCCUGCCUCAGACACGAGUUAAUACACUCCACAAUGUGAAAUGUCAUGAACUUGUAGUGCCUUACUAGUGACCGUGCACAUGCCCAUUUAUUAGGGCAUAAUAUCAUAAGGUGGUCGUAAGCAAGUUUGCAAAGCUAUUUCAGUUGAUUCAUAUGUCUGUUGAAAUUGGCAAGCUUGUAACAACUGGCAACAAGCGUGAAAAUCGUGACAGCAUCUUCGCGCUUGAACCUAUUUUUAACAUUUUUUCCCAAAUGGUAAUUGCAUAAACUGUAGUGCUUGUCGUGGUACACUUUCUCAACUAUAUUCUUAAUGCUAAGAUGCUAAUAAGAAAUAAACAUUGCAUUUUUAGGAUAACCAAUAGCACGAAGCAAUUGGGUAAAAAAUCACGACCACGGCUCUUCAUCCUUUACGUCGCUAAUGCUAAAUGCAACUGGAUAUGUUUGCUCAUUUGUGUCUUUUCAUACAACAAUAAACAGAAUACCCUUGAAUUUAUCUUUUAGAUGUGUGGCAUCAAUAACAACUACAAGCCGCAUUAUAGCACUAAAUCCCCGUAGACAUGCAUCCGUAUCAACAGUUGUGAUAGUACCGAGAAUUUCACAUUCCAACAUAUGAAAAUACGAGGGGAGGAGUUAUAAUGACUUCUCUGGGGGACCAAAAACAAGACUUUUUGCAUACUCCUUCACUUGCCAAGCCUUACCAUGCAGGUAUUGCAAUCCCUACUUGCGAUUCAUCUCUUCCAUUAUUUUCUUUAGUCUAAAUGGUGUUACAUUAUAUCCUUGCAACCUGGGGGAGAUAAGCUCUCCAAUUAACCUCGCGCUCAUGGUUUGGAACCCACCUUGUAAACCAUCAAUAGUAUACAUGUGUACCUUGUGGAACGUCCGAACUUGCCAAUAAUCUCUCUCAGGCAACUUUGUUGCAUGCAAAGCAAACUUGCAUGCCUUGUCUUUACAGCCUACCUCAAAACAAGCAUGAAUAUGACUUUUUAGCUCUAAUCUCAAAAUGCUCUUUUAUUGCCAACAUGCUCAAAGCUCAUUUCAAUUCAGCCUUCGAUGGAAACACUUUGCCGCAAUAUAAGUGGUCAUCGAUUGAUCUAGACUCCUCGAUCGUAAUUGUUUGGAAGGAUAUCAUAUCUACUCCCGGAAUAAUUCAUUGACGAGAUACCCUUACGUUUACCCUUUCUUGAUAACUGUCAUCUAGUGAACAAAUCCCAUUUUCACCAGCAAUGAGGUUGUCGUAAAUAAGGUCAUCACACUCAACAUAUUCUAAAACAAUAGUUAUGGCAUGGUCAUCGCACUAAACCUCUUCUAACAUAACAGUUGUGGCAUGUUCUGUACUACCAUCUACAUGAUUGCAAUCCAGAAUGUCAUUGUCCUUACCCUUGUCAUCCUCUGAAUAGUUAUCAUGUCCGCAGCGUAAUCAUCUUCAUAGUUAUUGUCCAUCUCAUUAUUCCAAUCAGCAAUGUCAUCCUCUUCACCAUCAUCGUCCAUCUAAUCAAAUGCAUCGUCAUUACUCACGACCAUCACAGUGUCAUUUGCGAAUGGCAAUGGACCCAUUGCAUUCGCAAGCGAUGGUUGCAUUUAUUGCCAAGAACGAAGUAUUUCGUUCGAUGCACAUUUUGAUCAGAAUUGUGUAGACAUCAUUUGCAGACACCUCAUGUGUGUACUUGGCUGUUCAAAUUCAUGUGCAUACGUCAAUGGUAAUUACCAUUGUUAUUUGUUAGCAAAUGCAUGGUGUAAUAUGUCUGAAUCCUUAUAAUUCUACUGUAGGUGAUUACUAUGUUAGACACCAUGUUCAUGUGGUAUAACAUUUGUAUUUUAUUCCUUAACUAUCACAAACGCUAGAACUGCCCUCUCAUCUCACAGAAUACUUGCUACUUUCUUCAUCGUCCCUGAUAACUACGUGUGAAACCCCUACUGCAUGACUGAGCAUUGCAUGUAGCUCGAUUUUAUGAUUCUGUGAGUUGACCUUAACAACCUUUUCAACUAGCUUCAUUAGGUCCAAAAAUGACAAAUCACUCUCAAUACCCCUCAUUCGUGUCUCACCACCCUUGUAAGGGUCAUCGACCCAAUAACUACCGUAUGUAAUCACAAGCUUCACAUUUGGUAACAUGUUGAACUUUAACAGAAAAUAAGUGUCACAAUCAACCAAUUUAUCAAAAAAUGCCACUCAAUGUAGAAAAAUCAGUCAUGCAAUGCCUAAGUCAAGCAAUAACAUAGAGUCAUUAUCGUAAUGUCUAAUACAGAUUCACGUAAUGCCUAAAAACUAGUCAAGAAAUACCUUAAAACAAUAGAUGCAUUGCACAAGUCACGUAACACCUAAAACCCAGUCUCGUAAUACUUAAUAAUAAGUCACGCAAUGCCUAAUAUCCACUCACAUUAUGCCAAUUUAACCAGUCACACAUUACCUUAAACCAGUCACACAAUGGCCCUACUCACACAAUACAUAAAAAUCAGUCACAGAAUACAUAAUAACCAGUCACGCAAUGCCUAAUAUCCAUUCACACGAUGCGUAAUAUCCAUUCAUGUAAUGCCUAUAAACAAAAUAAUAUUCCAACUAUUAUUAUCAUACCUUUGCUUCUCUUAUAUAAAUAGAAAAUUAAGAAAUUUGAGUAAGUAAAUAAGUUAUCAGCAUAAUAGAAAUUAAUGGUAGUUACUAUUUAUGAAAAAUAUGUAAUAAAUCAAGAUUUUUAUUCAUAUAGCUAAAACUAAGUAAAUGAUACAUCAUAAUAACCAUGUAUUAUGUGCCUUCCAUGGUUCAUUUCUUCUUAAUCUCAUCUACUAUUUCAUAAAUUUCAGUUAGAAUCUUUUUAUUAUGCAGAAUUUCUAUCUCUAAAACUUUUGUCCAAACCAGCACCUUGUUGAUCAAAACACGCAAGUCCUUUUCCAUGUUCUCAAUGACCUUCAUCAAUUUUCCCAUAUAUGUUGCAACAUAUUUAGGGAUGUCUUCCUUUUCAGAAGCAACACCCUUCUUGGUUUCACCUUUAAAAUGUUUAGAAGCCAUGAGAUUUUUGAGAUUUGGUGACUUUCUCUCAAAUGAUUUUGAUUGAAAUGGGCAAUGGUUUCCUCUAUUUAUAGGCAUGAAUGUUGACUCUUAAAAUGGUGAUCAAGUUUUAAGCUUGUUUCCUGAUGAAUAUGGUUAAUCCGUAAAUCGAUGCAAUAAGUGCUUUAAAGAGAAUUUUAGAAUUCUGUGUCAAUUGAAUUUGGAUGGUUUUCUACACAGACAUAAGUGGAAUUAAGGGGGCUGAAUUGGUUAUUAUGCAUUCCUAAUUCUUUUCUAAUUUUACAAAAUUGGUUAUUAAAAGGGCUGAAUUAGUAGAUAUUCAGUUUCAGCAGCAAGUAGAUAAAGAGCACAAUAACUAAAAACCAGUCACACAACACCUACAAACUAGUCAAGUAAUUCCUAAAACCUCAUCAAACAAUGCACAAGUCAUGCAAUUCCUAAAAUCUAGUCUCCCAAUGCCUCGUAUCUAGUCCCACAUUGUCUAAUAUUUAGUCACGUAAUGCCAAAUAAAUAGGUUACACAAUUCCUAAUAAUCAGUCAUGCAAUGCUUAAGUGACGUAAUACAUAACAACCAGUCAUGCAAUGCCUAAUAUCCAGUGACGUAAUGCCUAAAAAAAAUUCACAAAUUGCCUAAUAAUUAAUUGAUUUUGCUACUCCUGGCCAGGUUUAAGUUGCCAAAGUCAUAUAAUUUACCCAUCAACUUUUGGGUUCUAUGAAUAUAAACAAAUAAACUCAAGAACCCAAAACACAUACUUUGAUGUCAUCUCUACUCUUUGGGAUGCGAUAAGCAGUUGGAUGGUGAUAUAGACCUCGAUGGAGUUAGAGAGCUAGACGGAGAGAUAGAGAAAUUAAGAUUUAAUUUAUGAACUUUAUCUGAAUAGUGAGAUAGAAGAAAUCGGACCAUUUAAUUUAAAGAAAAUGGUUUAAAGGGCAUUGUUAUUAAGUUAUGUCAAAAAUUAUCUAAAAACAGUUAAAAUUAUAAUGAGGGUCAUUUUUUAAUUGAACUUAUGAUGAGGGUUAUUUCUCAUAAUUUCUUCUUUCUUAAUUUUAAUUUUCCUGUGAAAACAAAAGGUAAGCGACAUUGAGAUGCUAACAUAUCUGUCCUUUUGACUUGAUAGUAUAGACAUUAACAUAUCUUAACCAUUUUUAAUUAUAAUUCAAAUUUAAACUAUAAAGCUCAAGUCUCAUUAUAUAUAGAUUUGGACUAAUUUUACAUUCAAUCAAGUAAGGUAUUGUUGAAAGGCAUUUGUAAGGCAAACAUACUAUCAAAGGAGAUAGAAUUCAAAGAAAAGAAAUUAAUACGAAUUGAUUUGGGCCAGCCUAUAAUAGUAAUACUAGUUUGAAAAAUAUAUUUAACUAGUUAUAAAUGAAUUUUUGUUUCAACAUUGCUACACAACCGAUAAAAGCUUUUAAUUUUUCAUUCCUCAGCCACUAAGUGGAAUAAACUUCAACUUCUUGUUGAGAGAGGGUGUACAAAGAGUCUUUGGAUUGAUUUGGUAAAAUAUAUAUUGAGAGAGAUUUUAUUGUAUUUCUAUUUUUCAAAUUAGUAGAAUAACAAUGUUUCAUCUAGUAAAUAUAGACAAGAGGUUGACUAAUGUAAAUUAUUAUGUUAUUCUAUUAGAUUGAUUUCUCUGAAUUCUAUCUUUGUUGUUUCAUAGACAGUAUUAUAACGUGAUUUUUAUUUUAAAGUGUUGAUUCUCAACAUGUUUUUAGAUAUCAUUUGUCAUUCUAUUAGUCACAUAACUGGCGUGACAUACAGAGAUAUCAUAAUAUAUGAUGAUAAGACAUAUUGAUGUGGUAUGAUAAUACAAUCAUAUAGUAUUUUUCAUCCUCACAUUAGCAUCACAUGUAUAUAAAAUGAUAAAUAACAUUUUAACUAAUAUUUGAUUAAUGGUAAUGAGUUAAUUAUUAGUUAUAAGAACCGACUUGACCCAAAUUAAGAGUACAUGAACUUAACUGAAUAUAAUAGAAAUAUAAAACUUUAUUUAAAUUUUUUUAAAUAAUUCAUUAUUCUUUUCAAACAUUAUUCCUUUCUUCAUCCCUGGUAAAAAUCUCCCAAAAAGUGCUAGUCCUGAAGAACAAGAAAGACAGGGGGAAAGGGGAAACAAGCCAAGAAAGUCCCGUAAUUAUAUGUGGUCCAUGUUUAAAGUCUAACAAGGAAAAGUCCACCCAUACUUUAUUCUACAAUGGAAGAAACAACAAUUCUUUACUCCUCUCUCUCUUAUAUUUCUCCUCAUUUCUUUAGACUUCUUCUUUCAAUCUAAAAGAUCCCACAAAAACCUCCCUCCAAGCCCACCUUAACUUCCCAUCCUUGGCCACCUACACCUCCCAAAACUCCCCAUCCAUCGCUCCUACCAUACUCUUUCCCAAAAAUACGGUCCUAUCUUCUCCCUCCAGCUUGGCUUUCGGCUUCAGGUUGUAGUAUCAUCUUCAACCGCAGCGGAGGAAUGCUUCACCAAGAACGAUAUCAUUUUGGCUAAUCGCCCCAAGUUAAUACGGGGAAAGCACCUAGGCUACAACUAUACCACACUUAUAGCCUCGUCUUAUAGUGACCAUAGGCGCAACCAAGGGCGGAGCUAGCCAAAUUUUAUUGGGAGGUCAAACAUAGUUGAAUAAGAGUUAAAAAUUUUUAAAAAUUAAUAUGUUAUUCAAUCAACAAUAAAAAUAUUGAUAAUAGAAAUAUGAAACUAAAUAUAAAACUAUAAUUUAUAAAAUAUAAAUAGUUAAAAACGAUAUAUAAGAUUAAUAAUUUUUUCUUUUAUAAUCAGAAUUAUUUAAAUACUAUAUAUUCGAGAAAAAUUUAAUUUAACUAAACAUAAAAUGUAAAGCAUAUAAAAAAUAUACUCAAGUUAGUUUCCUCUUACAUAAUCAAGAUAAAUAAAAAAAUGAUACGUUGAUGAAAUUUUAAGUAACAAUAUAAUACUAUAACUUAUAUUUGAGAACUAUAUAAUAAUUUAUUAGUUUUUAAAAAUUAAAAUCAUAAAAAAUAAAAUUUAUGUAACAUAAAAAAAAAGAACAUGGUAAGUAGAAGGUAGAUAUCACAUAUUACAUAACAAAAAAGAAAAAAAAAUAUGGUUAAUGGUUUGAAAAAAUUUGGAGAAGAAUAUUUAUAGAAACUUAUAACAUAUAAACAAAUAGAAUAAAAAUGAAAAAAACAAAUAAAUAUAAAUAUAAAUAAUAAUAUAAAUUUAAAAAAAUUAAAGUUGAAUGAUAUAAGUGAAAUUAUUUUAUUAUUUUUUAUUUAUAUUAAUUAUUAAAUAAAAUAUUAUUUUGAGGGAGUUAGUAAUAGAAUAUAUAAAAAGAUUUAAAAUUUUUUAUAUGUUAUGAAAAAAAUUUUAAAAGUUUUGAGGGCAUGCACAUAAGGAGGCUCCGCCCCCAGGCGCAACCUACGUCGAAUCAGUGCCAUUGAAAUCUUCUCAUCAAGUCGCCUAAACACAACAAUAAGUGUUCGAAGAGACGAAAUCAGGCGCUUGUUGCUGUAACUGUCGCCUGAUUCGCCCCAAGACUUCACGAAAGUGGAGCUGAGUUGACGUUCAAUAACAUCAUGAGGAUGGUAGCACGGAAGCGGUACUAUGGAGAUGAAGUGACAAAUGAAGCAGAAGCAAGAGAGUUUAGGGACUUAAUGACGAAGGUAUUUAAGAAUGGUGGAGCAGCAAACCCAGCAGAUUUCUUUCCGAUGUUGAACUGGUUCGAUCAAUGGUAUGAAGAAGCUUGGAAAGAGAAUGGACGUGUUCUUUCGAAAGUUGAUUGAUGAGCGCCGAAGUAAUAGGCAGGAAAAUACUAGUAUGAUUGCUCACCUUCUUUCCUUGCAAGAAUCUGAGCCUCAUUACUACACUGACGACAUUUUGAAAGGGCUCAUAUUGGUUAGUUGAACUUGAAUCUUUUUCAUUUGUCCUUUUCCUUUUCGUUGUUUGUACAGCUGGAAGUCCAUUCAGCUUGAACUACACAAACCCAACAUUCCUUUCUGAAUAUUCAAACAUGAAACCUCUUACACUUAAUUCUAAUUGUUCUAUUGUAUUUGCAUGCAUGUUUAACAAACAUUAUUGUGGAGGUGAUGAUACUUGCAAGAACAGAUACAUCUGCAGUCACCUUAGAGUAGGCAAAUGUCUAAUUCGCUUAACCACCCAGAAGUGUUGAAGAAAGCUAGAGUUGAAAUAGACGGUCAAAUUGGCCAAGAAAACUUGAUUCAUGAGCCAGAUGUUUUCAAACUGCAUCUAUAACUAUAUUUAAAGGAAGCCCCCAAACGGCUUCCUUUCUUGACACUAAGCCCCAAAAGUUAUGAAAUUACAAAAUUAUCUCAUUAUGAAGCAAAACUCUUAAAUAAGUUACUAUUUUUAGCCAAAUAAAUGACAUUAAUUAUUUAUACAUAUCACCUUACUUAAACUAAUUAUUAUUCCAAACAAAAAUUAUGACUCACAUUUAAAAAAAAAAAACCAUAUAUGGUCCGCUAAUUAAUUUAGAAUUUGUUGUACUAAAAAAAUAUGAAAAAUAUUAUUUAUCCUAACACUUUUUGUUUUAUGAUAUAAUAAUAACUUAUUAGUUUGAUUAUAACUUAAAUUCAUCCAAUACCACGUCAAUGGAUAAAAAUAUUUAAAACAAAAGUGAUAAAGUAAAUAGCAUGACUCAAAAGUUAUUUACAUAGAAAAAACAUUAAAAAAUUUUCCUUAUCUUUUAACUUAAAUAUUAUUGUAAUUUAAGACUCUCUUCACGUCGUGUUUAAUAAGUCUCUUUCUCAUGGACCAAAUAGCAAUCUAUAACUAUAACCCCUUUGGGGCUUCUUUGCUUGACACUUGGCAAUUAUAUUGCCUGAAGAGGAAAUCAACUAUAAAGCCCAAAUUCAGAAGUCAAUUACUUUGUAAGAGGUUAUUUAUACUAAUUUAGCUAUUUGACAAGACUAAUUACUUGAUCAUUCUCAUUUCCUAAAUUUAUUAAUAAUAUAAAAAGAAAAUUCCUAACAAUCAAAUAAAUGAAAAUCAACUAAAUCUAAAAUAUGAGUUUGUUUGCUUACAUGUCAAUAAUUUUUUUGUUGAUAGCCAUAUAAAGGUACACAAAUCUCAUAAAAUUUCCAAAAUGAGUGUUUUCAAAGUUUUUUACUUCAUUCAACAACUAAAAAAUACUUUUCCUCUUAAACACACAUAAAAUUUGAUAUUACUAAAAUAUCCCAUUUCAAGUUUAUCUUAUCAUCUAAAAUUUAUGAGCAUAAUAAAAGACAAAAGUUAAGAGAAAACUCAGUAGUGAAAAGAAGUACAGUAAUUUGUACAGUUACACUUUUUUGCUUCAUCAUCAACAAACAAGCACAUAACCGAUUAUACAACUCCAGAUCACUAAAUCAACUUGACUAUGAAAAAAAAAAAACACUUAUGUGCAUGUGAGCGUCCUAUUUAAGCUAAUAAAUAAUCUCAUGUAAGCUUUUUACAGUAGAUUGAGUGUUGAAAAUUACGAAUAACCGCAAAAGGUUUGUUAUGUUUAAAGGAAGUCUCAAAGGGUUUUUGGCUUGACACUUGAUGAGGUUCUUCGUUUGACACGUGUUUGUUGGGGUGCGGGCUUGAGGUAUAAUGUGAUUGGUCUGUGGUUGGGUUUUUACGCAUGAGCUUGGGCUUUGGGGCUGGGUUUGGAUUAGAUUUUUUUCCUCUCAUGGUUUAUAUGUGAUUAUUUAUAAAAAAUAAUUUUUUUUAUUUCAUUAUUUAUUACUCUCAUGCCAUUUUUCGAUGUUAAAUGUAACUAAUGUGACAGGGUGCAUAUCAACUAGCUAAGAGAUAGGGCAUUGAGAGAGAUUGAGUUACUACAUAUUUUAUUUUUCAAGUGUUAAAUGUAACUAAUGUAAAAUUGUGCAUAUCAGCUAGCUAAAGAUAAUGUUUUGAGAGAGAUUGAGUUACUACAUAUUUUAUUUUUCAAUAUUAAAUGUAACGAAUAAAAAGUGGUAUAGAUCAAUUAGCUAAAGAUAGAAUUUUAAAAGAGAUUGAGUUACUACACAUUGUACCGUAAGUUUGGAGAUUUUGUUUAAGAUUUUUUUUUUUUGGUAUAGAAGCACCAUACAAAUAUCGAUGGCUACAAUAAUAAAAAUUAUAUAUUUUGUAAAAUAAUAUUUUAUACAUGUCAAUAUACAUCAACAAUUAGAUAUGAUAAUAUAAUUGCUAUUGCAUAUUUGUUUCACAAUGUAUUCUCAACUCAAUUGAAAAAAAAAAUUUACCAUCCGGAGCGCGUCGCAUGGGCAACAGACUAAUAUAUCUUAAAAUAAUCAUCUUGACGUUAAGAUAUACCUAAGACCUCCAUCUUAUAUUUGAGGUAAUUUUUUUCCUUGAAUAGUCAUGGACAACCUUUGUUUAGUGAAAUCACCAGCAAGAAUAUGUGACGAUGAUAUGAUUCAAUAAAGGAAUUCUUCUACAAAUAAUUAUUGAAGGUGAAUUCAUAUGGGGAGAUAAUAAAAUCUUAUUAAAGAUAUAUUUUUCUAUUCAUAUGAAGGCUCUGUUGAAGCUUAAGCUACACACAUAACGAGAGAUAACCCUUAUUAUUACACAUUGCACAAAUUGUAUUUAUUGGAGAGCCGCUUAGAAACAUAAAACCAUGUUAAAUAGUUCUGGUGAGAACCUUGUUGACAAUGGGACGAGCUUUACACAUGGCUUCUAAUGGCACGACUUUAGGCAUGGUGAUUUCACCACCUUCAGCCAUGUCAACUUCUUUCUCACUAACUCUUUCCCAUUCAAAACAUUGGAUCAAUGAACCCAAGCUCAAGCCCACAACUCGUUGAGCCAAGCCAGCUCCAGGACAUGCCCUUCUUCCUAAUCCAAAAGGCAUUAGCUUGUAUGAUUCCCACUCUCCAUUUCCAUACCUCUCAGGCUUAAAACUUGUCGGAUCAUCCCACAGCGUCGGGUCUCUAUGAAUAGCCCAUGCAUUGAUCAAUACGAUCGUGUCACGUGGCACAUCGUAUCCGCAUAUCCUGCAAUCAGUUGACGCCAUGUGUGGGAGUAGGAGAGGAACUGAAGGGUUCAACCGAAGGGUCUCAAAGAUGAUACUUUGAAGGUAUUGUAGCUUGGAAACAUCAGGUUCAUCAAUCAAAUUUUCUUGACCAAUUUGACUAUCCAGUUCGGUUCUAGCUUUCUUCAAUACAUCUUGGUUGUUGAGUAAAUUAGACAUUGCCCAUUCCAAUGUGACUGCUGAUGUAUCAGUUCCGGCAAACAACAUUACCUACACAAUAUAUAAUUUCUACCUGUAAUUAUAUUCUCAUAAAGAUUAAUAUCUACACACAAGUUAAAAUAAAACACUUUCUUCAAUGGAUUCUAUAUUAAUUUCUUCUAAAGAAGACAAUGCAAGAGAAAGGUCAACAAGUACCAUAAAACUAAUUAAUAUAAGCUCAUUAUGUUUUUGUUAGAGCGCCAACUAAUCUUUUGUAGAUAAGCCAUCGUGUGGUGUCAGCCGUGGUACCUUCCAAUUAAUACCAACUCAAACAAUCUCUUUCCACAAAAUUUGGAUUUUAAGAAUCAUUGACUUGGAUCGGUUCCAAAGUGGUCCACAUAUACAAACCACUGGCUUGGACGAUGCCUAUCAUGAGUCAUCUUGAACCAUCAGUCAUCCCUCACUGGCAAAUUCCAGUGCUAUUUGACUGGGAGGAAACCAUUCUUAAUAUAUUAAUAGUGGCAUGCACGUGCAAUUUCCUAAACCAAAUAAAAACUUUGCGAUAAUUAUACUACUAAUUAAAAAAAAAUAGUUUGGGCAUCCAUUAAUUAUUAGUUUUUUUUUUUGUCGAUACCUGUUUUGAUUUAAAAUAACCUUUCAAUUUCAUCCAAAAAAAGAACAUAAUAACCUUGCAAUCAUGAGUAAGACACUAAAACAUAAGUCUUAUUAGCUAGUUGCGAUUAGCUGAAAGUUUUAGUUUGCCCAUGAUAAAAAGUUAGUGUGAUUGAAGAUUCUUGAGCAGUAGAAAUGAUGUCGGACAUAUUUUAUAUUUUUGGCUUUUGGAUGUUACCUAUGCCCAUCUGCAUUCACCGUCACUUGUCCGUUUUAAUGAAUAAUAAGAAAAUUGGAGUGGGACAAAAUUCUUAGCCUCAGGACUGAAAAUAAUCCAACCCUAUUAAAGCUAAUGUUUCAUUAGAAGCAUCAAAAUGCCCAUCGUUCGUUCACCAAACAAUUGAAAAUAUUAUAUAUAGAGCUCUCAUCACUAGAAUCCCAUUACUAGUUUGAUUUUCCUUUUUCCCUUAGAGAAGGCUAAAUUUAAUUUCUGAUUAGAGGUUGACAUCCUAAAGGAAGAAAACAAGGGAUUAACUAAAUGUUCUUUGCAAAGCCAAAACUAUAUAUAUAUUUUAUCCCUAAAUCCAAUUACUAUGGGUUUUUUUAUUAAACAUUAAAAUUAAUAUAACAUUUUUGAGUAUUUGAUUACAGUGAUAAGUAUAUAUAUAUAUAACUUGCCAAAAAGUGGGAUUGAAAUCUCCUCUUUCUAAAAUAAAAGACAUAAGAAUUUAAGGUAGUGGUCAGGGCUCUUACAAGAAUUUGGCCUUUGAUAAGUUGAUCAGUAUAGUAAUCAGGCUCAGUUUGUUGCAAAGAAAGAAGAUGAUCAAUCAUAGUAUUCCCUUGCCUCUUAGCCCGAACCUCGUCAACCAACUUUUGCAAGAGCCCAUCCAUCCUCUCUCCAAGAUUCAUCAAUUUUUUCAAGUAACUCCUUCCACCAAUCCAAUUCAAAAUGGGCAGAAAAUCCCCUGGAUGGGCAACUCCUCCACUCGCCAAAGACUCCUUCAUUAGCUCCCUAAAUUCCUUUGCCUCGCCUUCGUCCGUCACACUGUCCCCACCAUAGUACCUCUUCCCUGCUACCAUUCUCAUAAUAUUAUUGAAAGUUAAGUCGACAAACAGAGAUCUUAACUCCACCUUGGUAAAUUCUUGUCCAGAAUUAUCAUCACUCGAUAGUUUCAGCAACAGUCGCUUGACUUCAUCUUUUCUAAUGCUUAGAAAGGCGUUCAAGCGACUGGAUGAGAAGAUUUCGAUGGCACUAAUCCGACGAAGGUUGCGCCAUUGAUCACCGUAGGGUGAGCCAACGACCGUGCUCCAAUUGUACCCAAGGUACUUGCCUAAGAGUAACUUGGGGCGGUUAGCUAGAACGAUGUCGUUUUUGGUGAAGCAUUCCUCGGCUGCUGUUGAUGACGACACUACAACUACGAGGCGGGAGCCGAACCGAAGGGAGAAAAUCGGGCCAUAUUUUUGGGAAAGACUAUGGUAAAAGCAAUGGAUGGGUCUCUUUAUAAGGUGGAGGUGGCCGAGAAAAGGAAGAGAAGGUGGACUUGGAGGAAGGUUUUGUUUGGAAGUUUUGAUUUGAAACAACAACUUGAAGCAAAAGAGAAGAAGGAUAAGAGAAAGAGAUGAGUAAAGGAUAGUUGAUUCUGGUUCCAUGUUUACAAUUUUGCUAGUUUCCUUCUUGAGCUCAAUAUGAAAAGGAAUUUUCUUUGGUAGUAUGGAAGGAAAUGAGAAGAGCUUGCUUUGUAAAUGUACAUAUAUAGAGCUAAAAACGUUUUUCAUGAUUUAAUCUUGAAAUUAACGAAGGGACAUAAGACAGUUGUAAACAUUUCAUUUUGUACGAAAUGUCUUGUUAAUAAAUUAAAAAAAUAAAUUUAAAAAAUAUUGAUAUAAUAUCUAAAAAGCCUUUCAAAUUAUAUAUAUUUAAAAAAAUAUAAAUAAAUUUUUAUAUUUUUAUUAUGUUUGAUUAAAUUUUUUAUUUUAUUUCAUUCCAUAUAUAUGUUGAGACGUGGGUGAAUGAGGAGGAGGCCUUAUAAAUGUUUUGUUGGGCGGUGUCUAUCUUUUGAACAUGUUUACUUUCCUUUGGAAUUAUAAUGGGUGAAUUCUAUGUUGCAAGGGGCAGGCUAGGGAGGAUUUUGUAUAGGGUGCUGGACAUGAGUUAAACUUUUGUGUACCUAUGAUGGGGUACCAAUUAAAGGUAAUCCCUAUAUAGAGGCGGAGUCUCUUUUAAAAUUUUAAAAUUUAAUAAUUUUUUUGUUUUUUUUCAAAUUUUAUAGUUUUGCUCUCUAUUUUUUAAAAAAAAUUUAUAAUUUUAUCCCUACAAAUAAUGAAUUUCUUCUUUUCAUCUUCUCAAACAUGAAAUUUUGACUCCGCCACUGUCUUUAUUUAUUAAUGAAAUAUACCAUGCUAAUAAAAAAAAAAAAGAAGAGUGUUUCCCAAUCUUUCACUCUCCCUCUUUAAUUACUAUGAUUCAAAUAAGUCAAGUGAUACAAUUAAUUUUUAUAAUAUAUCAAAGAGUUAAAUUUAGUCUCUAUACAAUAAUUAGUAAAAUCAAAUCUUUAUAUUUUUCAAAAUUAACAAUGUCAAUCCAAUUGUUAAUGAUGUUAAAAUUUUUCAUUAUAGAUACUGGGGUGGCAUUUGACCAAGUUGACCAGAUAUUAAAUAUGAUGACUUAUAAUUUUUGCAAUCAACUUCUAUUUGUCUUGCAUUUGUUGUUAAGUAAUUACACUUGUGUUCCUAUACUGUAUGUGUAUAGAAAUUCGACAUUAUUAAUCUUGUAAUUGCUGUGUUAAAGACUAAUUCUUCAAUCAACAUCAUGUUAUUAUAUUAUACAUGAAGAUCUUGUGAUCUCAUUGAGUUCAAUAAUACUAAAAUUUAUACGUAUUGUGUAAAUCAUGUUUCUAUUAUGUAGAAAAAUGAUUAGUGUUCAAAAAAAGGCAAGAAAAUGGACAAAGCAUGACCACACUUGUUACCCUACAAACUAAUUUGUGGUUGUAUGGGAAUUACAAUUUAACAUAUUUGUGUACAACAUUUUGCAUUUUAUAAUAACAUUGAGGUAGUUCUUUAUCCAUGAGUUUGUAAUUUAAUUACUAUUUAUAUUUAUGUAGGUAAGAGCCCAUUGACCUAUAUAUACUUUGCAAAGAAAUUGUAUUGAGAUACAAUUAUAAGAUCUUUAUGCAUCAAAGCAUUAUUUUUAAAAGUCCCUAAUUAUUGUAUUAAAAAGGGAUAUCAAUAAUGCUCAAAAAACAGUACAUGCUAUAUUCUUUACUUGUAAAGUGAGCAAUCGAUCUCAUAAGUUGCAGUUUAUAGAUACUUGGAACUAACAUAUGGGCGCUUGCCUUGGGAGAGUAAGUUCCCUGAACAUGACCAAACAUGAGAAGUGUAUUUGGUAUCUCAAUUUAGUAUCUACACAAUACUUAUAAUGUGUCAAUCAUGUAAAUACUCCUUAUACUUGAAACCCCAGGUUGUAUUAUAAGUGGAAUGCUAUGCUUUAAUUUCAUCCUUACAAGUCUUCUGAAGAAUACCAAAUCAGGAUGUUUUUGGAUAUAGUAUAAAGCUUGUGAAGGCAAAUGAGUGGUCAAGAUAGGAAUCAUCAACCCAAGUGAUUUAAAGGGACAUAUCAUUAUAGUUCUUAGUUGAUAUUAGCUUAAUCAAAUCCUUGGCCAAGGUGAUAGGGAGAUUAUGAAAUAAGUUCAUAAGUCUCUAUAAAACUAAUGAUCUAACUGCAAAAACAAAUAUGGAGAUCAAUAAGAGUAGGCAUUGCACCAUUCUCUUUUUAUUUCUAGGAUAUAUGAUGAAGAAAUGAACUACACUGAUAGACUGUACACUGAAAGGUUGUCAAAAACCUUUUGACUCUCUUAACAAUUGACUGGCCAUGAUACAUUGCUAAAUGUCAAUAUUGAUCUAUGGAAUUGAAUCAAUUUAAUUUGAAUAUAAAUCAUUUAAAUUAAUUAAUAAAGAAUAUGAUUCAAUUCUAGUACCAACAUGUUAAGAACUUAAUAAGUCACAUAUAAACUAGGUUUUUAACUAUUAGGGACUUAAUUAAAAUGAUUUAAUUAAGUACUUGGUUAAUAUUAUAAGGAGUUAUAAUAUUGAGGACUUAGUUAAAAAAUAAGUAAAUUAUUUAACCUAUAUAUAAAAGGUCUUUUUCUAACCACUCUUCACAAGAGAAUUCUUGUCAGAAAAAUUGAGUCCCUUUCUUGUGCCACCACCCUUGUGAGAGCUCUUGGGAAGAGUUUCUCUUGUGUGGUUUGGCUGGAGAUUCAAUAAAGAAGAGUAGGACAAUCGGUUGUCCACUUUGCUAGCAGAUAGACAUGGUUAGAAAGCUCUCUCCUUGUUGAAGUUUCCAUUGAAGCUAUAUGUGCAUCUGUUGGAGGCCAAAUAAUUGAGUGGCUUGGAUUAUUUCCUCCUUUGUGGUGUUCACAGUUUGACUACUGAAUGGGUGCCAUCAUGAUGACCACAUCACUUGGUAAGGUAAUCUAAUUUUUCUGAUUAUUUCUCUCUUUCUCAAAGUCUUUGUUUGCAUUAAAACACCAAGAAGAUCUAUGGUAAGUGUGACAUGGUGUUUAGUUUAGUUUGUUUAGGUUUUUUUUUAUAUAUAUUUCUUCCAUUGCCAUGAUCUCUUCCAUGUCAUUCCCAACAAUACCAAGACCUUAAAAUUGAAAUUUCCAAACUUAGUGUAAGUAAAUAAUUAUGCUAUCGUACGUUAUUUUUUCAAUAUUUUAUACUGAUUUUACAUAUCUUUUAUUUCAUUCAAAAACUAUGAAAAGCCUAAUGAUCUGCUACUACAAAAUAAUUUCUCGUAACAACUAGGAAUCUUUUUGCUUACUUAUGUACUUAUAAUUUUAAAUUUCGCAUGUUAUUACCCAAAGAAAGAAAAAUGAUUGAUAGAAAAUAUAAGGAAACAAACGUAGCCUCCUUACCAAUCUCAACACACGUGUUGCAACUAGAAUCAAGAAAGGGAAAUAUAAAGCUUGAACAUGAGAAUGUUAUCACCAAAUGCAUUGAUAUUAUUAUAUUGUUUAAUUUUUUGCAUUCCACUUUGAGAAUUAUAGAUUUUUGUUUACUGUCAUGAAGCUAUUGGCCAUUGCCAUUGCCUUGGUUUUUGUUUUAAUGGCCUCUAAAUUCAAACAGGAUUAUAGAUUUUUGUUUUUAUAUUUAAAUGGUUUCCUAUAGAUUUUGAUAUUAUAUGGUAUCAAAUUUAGAUCAUGUCAUACAUAAUUUUGGUAUAGAUCAGUCCGAUAUGUUUUAUGGUGUUUAGCGUCUCAGUAUAAUGUAAUGUAACGCUAUCUUUUGUGGGUAGCAGUAUUUAUAUUGGGCUACAUGCUUUGUAUCAAUUUCUGUGCCUUGGCAGUUGAUUUAUCACUGUUCUAUUGGCUUUUGGUCAUCCCUUGGUUUUUCAGGGUGUUGUAUCGUCUUUGAUACUUAAUAAUAAAUCAAUCUUGAUUGAGAAAAAAAUGGGUUUCAAUUAAAACUUGGGAAUUUAAUCCUCUGUUUAUUACUGCUAUAGUUAAACUUAAUUAGAUUACUUAGAUUGCUAUGAAGGAUGUUGUUAAUGUAGUAGUUAUAUUAACUUUUGUUAAUUUGAUUUUCAUAAUAAUUGAAUGAUCAAUAGGUUCAAACAUCAAAAAAACUUGAUAACACCAUUAUUGUCAUUAGAUUCAAUUUAAUGAGUCAAGAGAGAAUUUUUCCUGAGUUCAUCCCAACAAGUUUAUUUCAUCGAUAAUCGCACUUAAUGUAUAACAAUUAUAUACAAUCCAAAUCAUCCAAAAUCUAAUAAUAACAAUAAUAAAAUUGUACAAUGCACUAAUGGUGUUUUGCUACAAGAAUAUGUAUUCUAGCUAAGUGAUCAAAGCCUAUUUUUGCAAUAUGUUCACCAAACUUAUAACAAAUAAACUAAACAUUUUCCUUGUACAAUACCUUAUUCACGAUAGGGCGAGCUUUACACAUAGCCUCCAAUGGUCGAGCUUUAGGCAUGGUGCUUCUUGUUCCAUCAGUCAUAUCAAUUUCCUUCGUAUCAACCCUUUCCCACUCAAAGCAUUAAAUCAACGAUCCCAGAGUUAAUCCCACCAAACGCUGAGCUAGGCUUGCUCUUGGACAUGCCCUCCUUCUUAACCCAAAUGGCAUGACCUUGUGUGAUUCCCCUUUCUCGUUUUCAAAUCUCUCUAACUUGAAACUUGUUGGAUCAUCCCAUAGUUUUGGAUCCCUAUGAAUAGCCCAUAAGUUGACCAGUAUGAUCGUGCCACGUGGCACGUCGUAUCCACCUAUGGUGCAAUCAUUGGAUGCCAUACGUGGAAGCAGGAGAGGAGCUGCAAGGUAUAAUCGAAGAGUCUCAGAUAUGACGCUUCAAAGGAAACUAGUCUUCUGCUAGUGCAAUUCGCUCGUGAUGGUAAAAAAAAUUUUUUUUCUAAUUGAAUUGAGAAUACAUUGUGAAAUAGAUAUAUAAUAGUAAUUAUAUUAUCAUAUCUAAUUGUUGAUGUACAUUAACAUGUAUAAAAUAUCAUUUUAUAAAAUAUAUAACUAUUGUUAUUGUGGCCAUCAAUAUUUGUGAUGGUGCUUCUGUACAAAAAAACAAAACCUUAUAUAAAAUCUCCAAACUUAUAGUAAAAUGUGUAGUAACUCAAUCUCCCUUAAAAUUCUAUUUUUAGUUAGUUGAUCUGCACCACUUUUCAUUAGUUACAUUUAACAUUGAAAAAUAGAAUAUGCAAUAACUCAAUUUCUCUCAAAACCCUAUCUUUAACUAGCUGAUAUGCACCGCUUUAUAUUAGUUACAUUUAACACUUAAAAAAUAAAAUAUGUAGUAACUCAAUCUCUCUCAAAGCCCUAUCUCUUAGUUAGUUGAUAUGCAACUUUUUACAUUAGUUACAUUUAAUAUUGAAAAAUGAUAUGAGAGUAAUAAAUAAUGGAAUUUUUUAUAAAUACUCACAUAUAAACUAUGAGAGAGAAAAAAUCUAAUCCAAACCUAACCCCAUACCCUAAGCUCGAGCCUAAAAAGCCAACCACAAACUAAUCGCAUUAUACCUCAAGCCCAUGCCUCAACAACCACGUGUCAAACCAAGAACCUCGUCAAGUGUAAAGCCAAAAACCCUUUGAGAAUUUCUUUAAAUAUAACAAACCCUUUUUGGUUAUUCUUAAUUUUCAAUGCUUAAUUUGUUGUAAAAAGCUUAUAUGAGAUUAUAUAUUAGCUUAAAUAGGACGCCCACAUGCAUGUAAGUGUAUUCUUUUUUUUUCAUAGUCAAGUUUAUUUAGUGAUCUAAAAUGCAUAUAAGUGUUUUAUUUUUAUUUUUUUCAUAAUCAAGUUGAUUUAGUGAUCUAAAGUUGUAUAAUCAAUUAUGUGCUUGUUUGCUAAUGAUGAAGCAAAAAAAGUGUAACUAUACAAAUUAUAUUACUACUUUUACAACUCAGUUUUCUCUUAACUUUUUUCUCUUAUUUAUACUCAUAAAUUUUAGAUGAUAAGAUAGGCCUAAAAUGGGGUAUUUCAAUAAUGUCAAAUUUUAUGUGUGUUUAAGAAGAAACAUAUUUUGUAGCCGUUGAAUAAAGUAGAAAACUUUGAAAACACUCAUUUUGGAAAUUUUAUAAGAUUUGUGUACCUUUAUAUGGAUAUCAUCAAAAAAAUUAUUGACAUGUAAGUAAGCAUACUCAUAUUUUGGAUUUAAUUGAUUUUCAUUUAUGUGGUUGUUAGAAAUUUUCUUUUUAUAUUAUUAAUAAAUUUAAGAAAUGAGAAUGACCGAGUAAUUAGCUUUGUCAAAUAGUUAAAUCAAUAUAAAUGUCAUUUCACCUAGAAGUGAACCUCUCACAAAGUAAUUGACUUUUGAAUUUGAGCUUUAUAGUCGAUUUCCUUCUUCAAGCAAUAUCAUUACCAAGUGUCAAGCAAGAAAGGCCCAAAGGGGUUUAUAGUUAUAGAUUGCUAUUUGGUCCAUGAGGAAGAGAUUUAAUUAAACACGACGUGGAAAAAAUCUUAAAUUACAAUAAUGUUUAAGUUAAAAGAUAAAGGAAGAUUUUUUAAUGUUUUUUCUAUAUAAAUAACUUUUGAGCCAUGGUAUUUACUUUAUCACUGUUGUUUUAAAUAUUUUUAUCCAUUGACGUGGUAUUGGAUGAAUUUCAAUUAUAAUCGAAUUAAUAAGUUAUUAUUGUAUCAUAAAACAAAAAGUGUUAGGAUAAAUAAUAUUUUUCAUUUUUUUUAGUACGGCAAAUUCUAAAUUAAUUAGUGGACCAUAUAUGGCUCUUUUAAAAAAGAAAAAGUGAAUCAUAACUUUUGUUUGGAAUAAUAAUUAGUUUUAAGUAAGGUGAUAUGUAUAAAUACUUAAUGCCAUUUAUUUGGCUAAAAAUAGUAACUUAUUUAAGAUUUUUGAUUGAUAAUGGGUAAUUUUGUAAUUUUAUAAUUUUUGGGACUUCUUUGAUCAUUGUCAAGUGUCAAGCAAGGAAGCCCCUUGGGACUUCCUUUAAAUAUAGUUAUAGAUAUAUAAUUCACAGUAAAAAGAGUUAAGAAAUUAAGAAGCUCGACUUAUUGUGAAUAAAGUUCUUCAUAAAAUUAUUGAUAAUGAUUAUUAAUUCAUAAACUAAAUUGAAAACAAAUAAUUAUUUACAAUUUUAUCAAAGUAUUUUGUGUUUUUUUAUUAUAAUGUUUUCUGUGUAAAGUAAACACUAAUAACAAAAGCAACAAUUAAAGAGAGAUCGAUAAAGCAUAUGUUCAGAUCAUUGACUUUUUACACAAUAAAAUAUAUUUAAGAUGUAUCAAUUAAGUAAUUCAAAAAGCUACAUGAUUAUUAUGAAGAUAAAUAUAAUGCCACGGUAUAAUCUUCCCGUACUUAAACAUUUAGUUAAAUAUUAAAUAUAGUACGGUUUCAAAAAAAUACCAAAUAUAGUAUGUACUGUUUAAAAAUUAAAAAGGGGAAAGAAAAGCUAUACGUGUUUCCGAAGAAGCAUGUGAAGAUGUGGUCAAAAAAUACGGAGAGGCGAGUAGAUGGAAUGAAGCAUGAGAGUGAGGAAAUUGACGGUUGAUAAAAGACGUAACAUUCAAAGAGUGGAAGUUUCAAUCAUAGAAAGGUAUCCCUCCUCUCCUUUGCUGGAAGAGUAUCACGUAUGCGCUGACGCCUGGUGGAGCACGAUGUAUAACAUUAAUUAAUUACGACCACUUUUGCAAAGAUAGGAGACGGCGAGAUCGAGAGGGGGAAAGGGGAAAUAAGCCAAGGAAGACCCGUAAUUAUAAAUGUUCCAUGUUCAAAGUCUGACAAGGAAAAGUCCACCCAUACUUUAUUCUCCAAUUAAAAGACGGCUCCAGAUUUUUGCAGUUAGUUCUUGGAUAACACCCUCAUUAUAUAUAAACAAAAGGUUUUUAAAGAUAAGAUAUUUUUAAAAAUAGCACUCUUUAUAAGUUUAAUUAUUUUUAAUCAAGUUAGAUAAAAUUAUUUUUAAUAAAGUUGCACGUUAUGAUAUUACAUGUCAUGUACAAAAACCUGUGACAAGCUAUGGUUAGUGUAUUACACGCUAUGUACAAAAAUAUGUGAUACGUCAUGUACAAAAACCUAUGACAAGUUAUGAUUAACUUGUUACAUGCCAUGUACAAAAACUUGUGAUAUGCCGUGGUUAGUGUGUUACAUGCUAUAUACAAAAAUAUGUGACACGUCAUAUACAAAAACUUGUGACAAGCUAUGAUUAGCGUGUUACACGCUAUAUACAAAAAUAUGUGACAAGCCAAGUACAAAAUCCUGUGACAAGCUAUGGUUAGGAUGUUACACGCCAUAUACAAAAACUUGUGACAAGCCAUGAUUAGGUUGUUACACGCCAUGUUGAAAAAAAAUACUGUUGUUACACGCCAUGUAAAAAAAAUGUGUUACACGUCAUGGUUAAAAAAAUGUUGUUACAUGCCAUGUUGAAAAAAAAAAUAUUGUUGUUACACGCCAUAUUGAAAAAAUAUUAUUAUUACACGACAUAUUCAAAAAUAUUUUGUUAUACUUUAAUGUCUAAAAUGUUGUUGUUAUUACUUACGAACCAAAAUUUCAAAUCCUCUCAACCUUUUUUUUUGUUUUUCUGACAAUUUGGCAUAGAUUAAAGUGUUUCUAACAUGUUUUCAUAAAUCAAAAUACAAAUAUUUUUUUAUUUAAAAUACCUACUUUGACUAAAAAAAAAUUCUUUGAAAACCUACAUUUAUAAAUUUCAAAAUUUUGAGUUUAUAGGUAUCUAGGUCUCGAAUUGAUUCAAUUAAAAGCUAUUUUAUACAUUUGUGAUUAUUUUUACAGUUUUAUUUUUAUCCAAAAUACCUAAAAAUCGAAUUUUUCAAACAGUCAACCACUCACCCAAGCACGUCAAAACCAUUGCUUGGUGUCUUAAAAGCGUAAGAAAGAGAAAUCUGAAAACGCGAGAGAGAGAAAUCGGAAGCAUAACAGAUAAAUGCCGAACAGAGAAAUUGAUAAAAUUUGAGAGACUGGAAUGGUGAGAGAGAAAUCCGAAGCACAGAUGAGGAGUAAUGAGGAGAAAUUAUGAUGAAUAGUUUAAUUUAUUUGAAAUAGUUUAAAAAAUAUUUUCGUCAAGUCAUCACUAAAUAUCGGUAAAAACAGUUAAACUUAUUUUGAUGGUUACUUUUAAAAUGUCUUUAUAAAGAAAAGUCAUCUCCCACAAUUUCCUCUAAAGAAAACCGUUUCAUUUCUUCACACCAUAUAAAUUAAACCCAUCAUCAAAUUAAAGUCGAAAAGGUUCAACGAGGCAAAUUAAACAUGGAAGAAACAACAAUUCUUUACUCCUCUCUUUCUCUUGUCUUACUCCUCAUUUCUUUAAACUUCUUCUUUCAAUCCAAAAAAUCCCACAAAAACCUCCCUCCAAGCCCACCUUCACUUCCCAUCCUUGGCCACCUCCACCUCCUAAAACCCCUCAUCCAUCGCUCCUACCAUACUCUUUCCCAAAAAUACGGUCCUAUCUUUUCCAUCCAGCUUGGCUCUCGACUUCAGGUUGUAGUAUCAUCUUCAGCCGCAGCCGAGGAAUGCUUCACCAAGAACGAUAUCAUCUUGGCUAAUCGCCCCAAGUUAAUCCAGGGGAAGCACCUAGGCUACAACUAUACCACACUUAUAGCCUCGCCUUAUGGUGACCAUUGGCGCAACUUACGUCGAAUCGGUGCCAUUGAAAUCUUCUCAUCAAGUCGCCUAAACACAUCAAUAAGUGUUCGAAGAGACGAAAUCAGGCGCUUGUUGCUGAAACUGUCGCGUGAUUCGCGCCAACACUUCACGAAAGUGGAGCUGAAAUCUAUGCUCUCUGAGUUGACGUUCAAUAACAUCAUGAGGAUGGUAGCAGGGAAGCGGUACUAUGGAGAUGAAGUGACAAAUGAAGCAGAAGCAAAAGAGUUUAGGGACUUAAUAGCAGAGGUAGUUAAGCAUGGUGGGGCAGCAAACCCAGCAGAUUUCUUUCCGAUGUUGAGCUGGUUUGGUCAAUGGUAUGAAAAGAAGGAUAAGAAGCUUGGAAAGAGAAUGGACGUGUUCUUUCAAAAGUUGAUUGAUGAGCACCGAAGUUACAGGCAGGAAAAUACUAGUAUGAUUGCUCACCUUCUUUCCUUGCAAGAAUCUGAGCCUCAUUACUACACUGACGACAUUUUGAAAGGGCUCGUAUUGGUUAGUUGAACUUGAAUCUUUUUCUUUUGUCCUUUCCCUUUUCGUUGUUUGUACGGCUGAAAGUCCAAUGAGCUUGAGAUACACAAACCGAUCAUUCCUUUCCGACUAUUCAAACGUGAAACCUCUUACUCUUAGUUCUAAUUGUUCUAUUGUAUUGGCAUGCAUGUUUAACAAACAAACCUUAUUGUGCAGGUGAUGAUAGUUGCAGGAACAGACACAUCUGCAGUCACAUUAGAGUGGGCAAUGUCCAAUUUGCUUAACCACCCAGAAGUGUUGAAGAAAGCUAGAGCUGAAAUAGACAGUCAAAUUGGCCAAGAAAACUUGAUUGAUGAGCCAGAUGUUUCCAAACUACAUUACCUUCAAAGCGUCAUAUCCGAGUCUCUUCGAUUAUACCCUGCAGCUCCUCUUCUGCUUCCACAUAUGGCAUCCAGUGAUUGCACCAUAGGUGGAUACAACGUGCCGCGUGACGCGAUCGUACUGAUCAACGCAUGGGCUAUUCAUAGGGAUCCAAAACUAUGGGAUGAUCCAACAAGUUUCAAGCCAGAGAGAUUUCAAAAAGAGAAGGGAGAAUCACACAAGCUCAUGUCAUUUGGGCUAGGAAGAAGGGCAUGUCCAGGAGCAAACCUAGCUCAGCGUUUGGUGGGAUUAACUCUGGGAUCAUUGAUUCAAUGCUUUGAGUGGGAAAGGGUUGAUGGCAAGGAAAUUGACAUGAUUGAAGGAACGGCAGGCAUCAUGCAUAAAGCUCAGCCAUUGGAGGCUAUGUGUAAAGCUCGCCCCAUCGUGAAUAAGGUAUUGUGCAAGGAAAAUGUUUAGUUUAUUUGUCAUAAGUUUGGUGAACAUAUUGCAACAAUAGGCUUUGAUUUCUUAGCUAGUAUACAUAAUCUUGUAGCAGGGCACCAUUAGUGCAUUGUUCAAUUUUAUUAUUGUUAUUAUUAUAUUUUGGAUGAUUUGGAUUGUAUAUAAUUGUUAUAUAUUAAGAGCCAGCAUCAAUGAAAUAAAUUUGUUGGGAUGAACCAGGGAAAAAUAUCCUCUCUUGACUCAUUAAAUUGAAUCUAAUAGCAACAAUGGUGUUAUCAAGUUUUUCCUGAUGUUUGAACCUAUUGAUCAUUCAAUUAUUAUGAAAAUCAAAGUAACAAAAGUUAAUAUAACUACUGCAUUAACAACAUCCUUUACAGCAAUCAAAGUAAUCUAAGUUUAACUAUAGCAAUAAUAAACAGAGGAUAAAUUCCCAAGUUUCAAUUGAAACCGAUUUUUUCUCUCAACCAAGACUGAUUUAUUAUCAAGUAUCAAAAACGAUACAACACCCUGAAAAACCAGGGCAUGACCAAAAGCCAAUAGGACAAUGAUAAAUCAGCUGCCAAGACACAUGGCCACAGAGAGAAAUUGAUACAAAGCAUAUAGCCCAACAUAAAUACUGCCACCCACAAAAGAUAGCGUUACAUUACAUUAUACUUAGACGAUAAACACCACAAAACAAACUGGACUGAUCUAUACCAAACUUAUGUAUGACAUGAUCUAAAUUUGAUACCAUAUAAUAUCAAAAUCUAUAGGAAACCAUUUAAGUAUAAACAAAAAUCUAUAAUCCUGUUUGAACUUUAGAGGCCAUUAAUUAAAACAAAAAUCAAGGCAAUGGCCAAUAGCUUUAUGUACAUGAUGACGAUAAACAAAAAUCUAUAAUUUUCAACGUUUUAUGCAAAAAAUUAAAUCAAGGAUGGCUCAAUAACCUCAAGGGCCUAAAGCUAAAUAUUUAAUUAAGGUUUUUUUUUUUGAAAUUAAGAAAAUGAAACCUUUUUUAUUGAAAUAGCUAAAGAUCAUUAAAUAUGUAUUAUUGUUAGUUGAUCGGGAACAAGAGAAAUAGUUGAGAAUUAAUAUGAUUGUGAAAAUUAGGAAGUGAUAAAAAAUUGAGAUUAUUAAGGACAUAAUUAGAGAAUUGAGAAAAUAUGUCAUUUUAUUUAUUAUUCCAUUUUUAUAUAUUUUUAAUAAGAAAUGAGAUAAAUAGUUGAAAAUUAACAAGAAGGUGAGAAGUAAGAGAAAAUACAUAUUUAUUAGGCAUGAGUGAAUAAGUAGAUAUUUUAUUAAUUAUUUAAAUUUUUAUAUAUUUUUAAUAUAAAUUAAUUAUAUCAUUAUAAAAUUGUGAGACCUAUUAAAAUUUGAGGUCUGAAGGAAGGGCUUUGCUCGCGUUACCCUAGAGCUAGCCCUAAAUUAAACAAUAUAAUAAUAUCAAUGCAUUUGAUGAUAACAUUCUCAUGUUCAGGCUUUAUAUUUCCCUUUCUUGGUUCUAGUUGCAACGCUUACUUAUGUUAAGAUUGGUGAAGAGGCCACAUUUUUUUCCUUAUAUUUUCUAUCAAUCAUUUUUCUUUCUUUGUGUCUCAAAGUAAAAAUGGUAAUGGCACGCAAAAUUUAAAACUAUAAGUACAUAAGUAAGCAAAAAGAAUCCUAAUUGUUAGGAGCAAUUGAUUUGUAGUAACAAAACAUUAGGCCUUUCAUAGUUUUUGAAUGAAACAAAAGAUAUGUAAAAUCAAUAUAGAAUAUAGAAAAAAUUAAUGUACGAUAGCAUAAUUAUUUACUUACAUUGAGUCUAGAUAUUUUAGUUUUAGGAUCUUGGUGUUGUUGGGAAUGGCAUAGAAGAGAUCAUGACAGCAGAAGAAAUAUAAAAAAAAAAACCUAAACAAACUAAACUAGACACCAUGUCGCACCUACCAUGGAACUUCUUGGAGUUUUGAUGCAAACAAAGACUUUGAGAAAGAGAGAAGUAAUAAAAAAAAAUCAGAUUACCUUGCCAAGUAAUGUGGUUAUCACAAUGACACCCUUAGGUAGUAAAACCAUGAACACUACAAAAGAGGAAAAAACCUAAGCCACUCGAUUAUUUGACCUCCAACAAAUGCACAGACACUUGCAAUGGAAACUUCAACAAGGAGAGAGCUAUCUAACCAUGCCUAUGUGCUAGCAAAGUGGACAACCAAUUGUCCUCCUUUUCCUUACUCAAUUCUAUCCAAACCACACAAGAGAAACUCUUCCCAAGAGGUCUCACAAGGGUGGGGGCACAAGGAAAAGACUCUCAAUUUUUCUGACAAAAAUUCUCUUGUGAGGAGUGGUUAGAAAAAGACCUUUUAUAUCUAGGCUAAAUAAUUUACUUAUUUUUCAAAUAAGUCCUCAAUAAUAUAACUCCUUAAACAUUGACCUAGUACUUAAUUAAACCAUUUUAAUUAGGUCUCUAAUAGUUAAAAACCUAGUUUAUGAUUUAACUAUAAUUUAAAUCGUACACACAAUUUAAUCUAUAAUGCAAAUUUUGUACGUGACUCAUUAAGUUCUUAACAUGUUGGCAAUAGAAUUGAAUCACAUUCUUUAUUAAUUAAUUUAAAUGAAUCAUAUUCAUAUUAAAUUGAUUUAACUCCACAAGUCAAGAUUGAAAUCUAACAAUGCAUAAUGGCCACCCAAUUCUUAGGAGAAUCAAUGGGGUCUUUUUACAAUCUUUCAGUGUGCAAUCCAUCAAUUUAAUUCAUUCCCUCAUCAUAUAUCCCGAAAAUGAUGAGAGCAUGGUGUAAUGUCUAUUCUUUUUGAUCUCUAUAUUUGUUCUUGUAGUUAAAUCAUUAGCUUUAUAGAGACUUAUGAAACUCAUUUCAUAAUCACCCAAUCACAUUGGCUAAGGAUUUGACUAAGAUAAUAUCAACCAAAAACUAUUAGGAGAUAUUCCCUUGAAUUAUUUAGGGUGAUGAUUCUUAUCUGGAGCACUUAUUUGCCUUUACAUGCUUCAUAUUAUAUCUAAAAACAUCAUGAUUUGACAUCCUUAGUAAGACUCAUAAAGAUGAAAUCAAAGCAUAGGACUUCACAUAUAAGAUAACUUGGUGUCUGAAAUCUAAGGAGUAUUUACAUGACUGACACAUUAGAAGUAUUGCAUAGACACUAGAGUAAGAUAUCAAAUGCACUUCUCAUGUUGGAUCAUGUUCAGUGAACCUGCUCCCCCAAGGCAAGCACCCACAUGCUAGUUCCAAUCUAUAUAGUUUAAUAUGAGCUUAGUUGCUUACUUCACAAGGAACAUAGCAUGUGUCGAUUUUUAGCAUUAUUGAUGCCCUUUUCUUAAUAAUACAAGGAUCAAGAACUUUUAAGAACAGUGCUUUGAUGCAUAAUGAUCUUAUAAUUGUAUCUCAAUAUAAUUCCUUUGCAAAGCAUAUAUAGCUCCAUGGGUUUUUAUCUACAUAAGUAUAAACAAUAACUAAAUUACGAAUUCAUAGAUAAAAAACUACCUCAAUGUUACCAUAAAUAACAAAAUGUCGUACAUAAAUAUCUUAAAUUGUAAUUCCUAUAAAACCACAUAUUAGUUUAUAGGGCCCAUACUAACAUGUGUGGUCAUGCUUUGUCCAUUUUCUUGCCUCUUUUUGAAGCCUAAUCAUUUUUUUACAUAAUAGAAACAUGAUUUAAAUGAUACAUAUAAAUUUUAGUAUUACUGAGCUCAAUGACACCACAAGAUCUUCAUGUAUAAUAUAAUAACAUGAAGUUGAUUGAAUAAUUAGUCUUUAACACAAUAACUGCAAGCUUAAUGAUGUUGUAUUUCUAAACACAUAUAAUAUAGGAACACAAAUGUAAUUACUUAACAACAAAUGCAAGACAAAUAGAAGUUGAUUGCAAAAUUUAUAAAUCAUCAUAUUCAAUAUCUCGUUAACUGAGUCAAAUGCCACACCAGUAUACAUAAUGAAAAAAAUUUUAACAUCAUUAAUGAUUGAAUUGACAUUAUUAAUUUUGAAAAACAUAAAAUUUGAUUUUAUUAAUGAUUAUAUAAAGACUACUGAUUAACACUUUGAUAUAUUAUAAGAAUCCGUUGUAUCACUUGACUUAUUUAAAUCAUACUAAUUAAAGACGGAGAGUGAAAGAUUGGAAAACAUUUUCUUUUUUUUUUUCAAUAAGCAUGGUAUAUUUCAUUAAUAAAUAAGGGCUACCUUUAAUUCGUACCUCACCAUAGGUAAACAAAAGUUUAACUCAUGUCCAGCACCUUAUACAAAAUCCUCCUUAGUUUGACCUUCACAACAUAAAACCCAGCCUAUAAAAUUCCAAAGGAAAGAAACAUGCUAAAAAAAGAAGACAAAACCCAACAAAACAUUUAUAAGACCUCCUCCUCAUCAACCCACAUCUCAACACACGUACGAAAUAAAAAAAUUAUAAAAAUUUAAUUAAAUAUAAUAAAAAAUAAAAAUUUAUUUGAAUUUUUUAAAAUAUAUAUAAUUUAAUGGCUAUUUAAAUAUUGAAAAGUUUGAAUACUCUCUUAAAUGAUUUAUUCGAUUAAUAUUCAUCCGUUUAUAUACAAGUCAUAGCAUUAAUAUAAAAGAAAAAUAAUAUGUACAAUAAAGUGUAAUGCUUAAAUAAAGGUUUUAACAUCCUAUAAUUAAGGAAAUUAAGGGCAUUAGAUCAGGAAAUUAUAUCACUAAGUUAAUGAGCAUAUCUGUCAUGAUCCUCAGCAUAUCUAUCAUAUUUGUCAUGAUCCCUAGCAUAUCUGUCAUGAUCCCUAUUAUCCUUCAUUAUGAUAUCUAUCAUGAUUCCCUAAUAUCCUUCAUUACUUCCCCUCAAGUUGGAGCAUGAAGAUUAGUAAUGCCCAACUUGGCCAUUAAAUCAUGGAAAUGAUUCCGUCCAAAAGCCUUGGUAAAAAUGUCUGCCAACUAAAAUUAUGAUGAGAUGGAUUAUGGAACAAGGGUUUUGAAUUGGAUGUGUUGUCUGAUAAAAUGACAGUCUAUUUUGAUAUGCUUGAUACAUUCAUGAAAAACUGGAUUUGCAGCAAUGUGAAGUGUAACUUGAUUGUCACAAAAUAAUGAAGCUAGUGAUGGGUGUGAAAUUCGAAGGUCAGCUAAUAAUUUAAGAAGCCAUACAAUCUCACUUACUGUCGUGGCCAUGGCCCUAUACUCUGCUUCUGCGAAAGAACAAGAAACAACUAACUGUUUCUUAGAUCGCCAUGAGAUAAGAGAUGAACCAAGAAAGAUGAUGUAUCCAGUGGUUGACCUAUGUGUUGUUGGAUAACUUGCCCAAUCUGCAUCACAGUAAACUUUGAGAGUCAACUGACUAUUAGCAAGAAGCAACAAACCCUGGCCUAGGGACCCUGUCAUAUAUCUAAGAACACGUAGAGCUGCAUCGAAAUGAAGCUAACGUGGGCAAUGCAUAAAUUGACUUAGUACAUGAAUGAGAAAACUAAUAUCAGGUCUUAUGAUAGUGAGAUAUAAUAACCUUCCAAUUAACCUUCUGUGCUACCCUGGAUCUGAACAAAAGUGGUCCUUCAUUAGGAUGGAGCUUGACCUGUUGGUCCAUAGGUGACGAAACAAGCUUGCAACCAAUGAGGCCGUUAUUUGCCAAUAUAUCAAGCACAUAUUUCCGUUGGCUCAAGACAAUGCUGGAUGGAUAACAUGCCACCUCGAUGCCCAAAAAAUAUUUCAGCUUGCUCAAAUCUUUAAUACAAAAUUCACGAUCCAAGUGAGCCUUUAGUUUGAAAUCUUAAAUGCAUCAGUCCCUGUUACUAUAAUGUCAUCAACGUAGAUUAAUACUGCAACAAAUGACUCAUUGGCAGAGUAUGUGAAUAGAGAAUGAUUGGCAUACGAUUGAAUAAAUCCAAUGGCUAGUAAGGAAUUAGUAAACUUUUGAUACCAAUUUCGCGAUGCUUGACAAAGUCCAUAUAGAGAUUUCUUAAGUCGAUAGACACACUACUCCUUAUUUCUAGCAAGGCCUUGAGGUAUUUUCAUGUAGACUUCUACUUCUAAUUCCCCAUGUAAAAAGGCUUUGUUGAUGUCCAGUUGGUAUAACUCCCAAUGGCGUACAGCAGUGAUAGCUAAAAGACAGCGUACUAUGACCAAUUUUGCAACCGAAGCAAAGGUCUCAUGGAAAUCCACCCCUUCAAUUUAUGUGUAACCCUUGGCGAAUAAAGGAUAUUAAAGAAUCAUGACAGAUAUCGUAAUGAAGGAUAAUGGGGAUUAUAACAGAUAUGUUGGGGAUCAUGACAAAUAUGCUGGAGUGGGUACACAUUGUUGUUGAUUUCUCAAGCAAGUGCACAUAUCGUUAACAAGUAAUAGAGUAAUGAAGUAGAGUAUCGUUCCCACAAAGAAUUGUUUAAUUCCUACUAUUAACUACUAAAAUUAUAACACCUUAAUUUUAUCCAAAUAAUUAAAAUAAAAAAAAACUAAAACUAAUAAAUUGAAACCAAAAUUAAAUAGUAAAUAAAAGUCACUUAACUACGGAUCUAAGAUUAUACUAUCCCUCAAUACUUCAUCUGAUUGUUGUCUCUCUCUCUUAACUCAGUUUAAUGGAUUAAGUUGUUAACCUAGAAUCCUAAAUUAUUUACAAGUCUCUGUCGAGUUUCCCAUAAAAAUACCUCUCCCAAUUAAUUUACUAUUUUUUUUAAAAGCCCCAAUUAAUUUAUUAUAUGUCUAUGCAAAUUAAAUUGAAGAAAGAUUCAUUAAGUUUGUGCUCUAAUCCUAACUACGUAUGACUUAUAGGUGUAUGUCCACCCUAGAUGCAAAUCAAAUCACCUAAUCAACUAAAUGCAUUCAAUCAUACGCUAUUCUAUUCAAGGUCUACCUAAAUCUCCUUCGUUAAGGUUUAACCUAGGUUUCCUAUUCAAUCUAAUUGGUGAUCAGGCAAUUAGAACAUUGAGAAUAUAAUAAAAUAAACGACUUAAAUCCAUCAAACAUAAACAAAAGAGAGAUAAAUAAAUCAGACUACAUAUUGAGUUCAAUCAUAAUCUUAGAUAAAUAAUUUAAUUCCUCAUCAAGUCACAUGUUAUCAUCAAAAUAAGUUUAAACAUUGAAAACAAAACUAAGAAAAAUAAAGAAUACAGAAACUCUAAGAGUAAAACUCUUGAUCUCCAAUUUUUUUUGAAUCCUUCAAAUUCUUCUCAACUUUAAUGACUCUGUGGCUUGACUCUCAGCUGUCAAACUGGUGUUUCAUUCUCUCUCUUUUAAAAGUCUUUCAAAAGAUUAUUUUUAUAGACUUUGAAGUUAGGCUAAGUUGGGUGAAGAAAAAAGUCAAUUUCAAUCAGGAUUUCCUCAUCAGACUAUGUGGGUCACAGCCUUUUCCAAUUGAUUAACAGAAAUCGUAAUAACUCUAAGACUACUACAGUAUAUUAACUUCGACAAGAAUUUUUACCAUAUUCCAAGCCGAACUAGGUAAAGUGGUAAACAUGAAAGUUGUACAGUUUUUCUUAUCUUUUUUAUGGACCAAGAAUCUCUUCAUUUGGAACUCUAUAGAGAAAGUUAUGGCUAAAAUACCGAAUUAACUAAUUUAAAAUAAUUAAGUAAAAUCUACUAAUUUUUAAGCAUUACUACAAGAACUAAACUAAAUUACUAUUAAAAUUAAGCUCAAAUAACUCUAUAUCAUAAAGUUAUCACACAUUCACUCCAAAAGGUGAUAAAAAGGUUGGCUUGAAAUCGAAGUGCUCAUGUUACUUCUAAGAGGUGUUGAUAUUUGCGUUCCACCACACCAUUUUGCUGAGGUGUGUCUGUGCAACUAGUUUGUCUUUCCAUGCCAUGCUCAAACUAAUGAUCCACCAAAUCUUCAUGCUUAAAUUCCAAACCGUUGUCUAUUCGCAAUAUCUUGAUUUGUGUAUUGAAUUGUGUCAUGACCCACUAGAAGAAAUAAAGCAAGAGAUUUCUAGUUUUUGAUUUUUGCUUCAUAAGAAAAACCCAUGUUGCUCGGCUAUAAUCAUCAACAAUAGUGAGAAAAUAAUGUGCUCCUGAAAAGGAUGCAGUGUGAUAAGGCCCCCAAAAAUCCCAAUGGAUUAAAUCAAAGGCAUGUAAACUUUUAUUUCUACAAAUUGGGAAAGGCAAUCUAGUUUGUUUCGCUCUACAACAAGCAUUGCAAAGAAAAUUGUCCUUUCCAAUGCAGGUGACAAAUAAAUUUGGAACUAUUGAAAGAUUAUCCAAAGGAAUGUGCCCCAAUCGAUGGUGCCACGGCAAAGCAUUAUCGUUGCCUUUAGCCAAAAAAACCUUGCCUACCUCAUUGGCUCCAAGUAGUAUAAUCCAUUUCGCACUUUACCCAGUCCAAUCGGCUUCCUCAAGAGUAAGUCCUGUAUCACACAAAAAUCAGGUCCAAAAAUGAGUAAACAGUUCAAGUCACGAGUUAUUUUUGUUCACAGAUAGCAAAUUAAAAUGAAAAUUAGGCACGCCAAGAACUUUAUCCAUGGUUAAAUUGGGCCCAAGAUUCACUUGGCCCACAACAUGUACUAGCACAGUAUCACCAUUUGGAAUUUGGACAAGUGGGAUAUUAGAACUUUUAACCAUGUUGAACAAACUGUCAAUUUGAUGAGUGAUAUGAUCUAUGGCCCCAGUAUCAAUUAUCCACAAGUUGUUCUUGCAAGAUGAUUUACUAGAAAAUUUUGUAGUAUGGACAUUUGAGGCCAUGUUGAUUGUUGGUCCACUAUUAAAGUUGGACUCAUUUGUCUACUGGCCCAUUAGAUCCAUCAAUUACUAGGUAUUGGGCCUACGUAAGCCUAGGCACAGAUGAAUAAGGUUCGUGACCCAUGUCCGUUUCUCCCUCAACUGCAAAUGCAUGAGUCUACUUCACAACCACCAUCGUUGGCAUUUUUGUCUGAUCUUCCUUGGGUUUCUGUCUCCGCUGCCAAUCCGGUGGGUAGCCCACAAUCUCAUGGAAGAAUCACGAGUAUGCCCGAUUUCGUCAUAAUGAAUGCAAUGGGGACGAUUUCCUGCCCCUCUACAAUGGUCUCACCAAUCACCUAUCUUUUGCCCACUACCAUGCCUUGCACCUUCAAUUGUCUGAUUUCUCGCCGUCAAAGCAACUUUUUCGAGCACCGUGGGUAGUGAUGCAGCCAUUGCCAACUGCUUCUCUUCUUGUGCCGCUAUCACAUAAGCCCAUCCAAUAGUCGACAAGGGCUCCAAGCUGAGAAUUUGGGAACACACGGUUUUGUAGCUUUCAUCCAAUCCCAUCAAAAAGUUAAAUACCUUUUCUUCCUCACGCAUCUCUUGCAUUUGUCUCAAGACACCACAAAUGCACUUUCCACAAGUGUAAACCGGUAAGGGUAGAAAGCUUUGUGCUUUAUUCCAUAAAGCUUUCAAUUUUCCAUAAUAAGUAGAGAUUGGGACCUUCUCUUGUUGCAAAAGCAUAAUUGCUCGCUUGAGUUCAUAGACUCUAAGUGCAAUGCCUUGAGUGAAUCGUUCUUGGAAAUCAACCCAUAUUUCACUUGUAUUUUUUGUAUGUAUUGCUUCUCCCUACAUUUCUUUGACAAAGUAUUAAUUAGCCAAAAUAGUACUAUUGUAUUACACUGUACCCAACUUUGGAAAUCUAGGGACUUGAUUUCUAGCUUCAUAAUCGAUCUAUCCAGGUACCCUGGUUUGUUCUUGGAUUAGAGAGCAUUCAAGAAACUAUGCCUCUAAGUGAAGUAAUUAUUCUCAAUUUCACUUAAUGGAUGUGUAACAAAUAUUAGGCCAAAAUGAUUUGAGGGAUGUAAAUAAAAAGGCGAUUUGGUUUCGACUAAGGUACUGUUUAGUGUAGUCGUACCUAUGGUGGAUACCAAAUUCUCGUUACCCUUACUUAUUCCUUCCUUAUUCUUAUCGGCCAUUAGAGAAUUUUAGCUUAGGUUGUCUGCAACCUUACUUUGAGACCAUGAAGAGUUUGAAUACUCUCUUGAAUGAUUUAUUCGAUUAAUAUUCAUCCGUUUAUAUACAAGUCAUAGCAUCAAUAUAAAAGGAAAACAAUUUGUACAAUAAAAUGUAAUGCUUAAAUAAAGGUUAUAACGUCCUAUAAUUAAGGAAAUUAAGGGAAUUAGAUCAGAAAAUUAUAUCACUAAGUCAAAAAGCAUAUUUAUCAUGAUCUCCAGCAUAUUUGUCAUAUCUGUCAUGAUCCCUAACAUACCGGUUAUGAUCCUCAUUAUCUUUCAUUAUGAUAUAUGUCAUAAUUCUCUAAUAUCCUUUAUUAAAUGUUAUAUCAAUAUUUUUUAAUUUAAUUUUAAUUAUUUUUUAUCUUUUAAUUUUUAUUUUUUUAAUCUAUUAAUAAGACUACUCUAACAAAAUGAGAUGUCUACAACUAUCUUAUGUCCCUUCCUUAAUUUCUAGAAUAAAUCAUGAAACACGUUUUUAGCUCUAUAUAUAUACAUGUACAAAACAAGCUCUUUUCAUUUGCUUCCAUACUACCAAAGAAAAUUCCUCUUCAUAUUGAGCUCAAGAAAGAAACUAGCAAAAUUGUAAACAUGGAACUAGAAUCAACAAUCCUUUUCUCAUCUCUUUCUCUUAUCCUUCUUCUCUUUUGCUUCAAGUUGUUGUUUCAAAUCAAAACUUCCAAACAAAACCUUCCUCCAAGUCCAUCUCCUCUUCCUUUUCUCGGCCACCUCCACCUUAUAAAAAGACCCAUCCAUCGCUUUUACCAUAGUCUUUCCCAAAAAUAUGGCCCUAUUUUCUCCCUUCGGUUCGGCUCCCGCCUUGUAGUUGUAGUGUCGUCAUCAACAGCAGCCGAGGAAUGCUUCACCAAAAACGAUAUCGUUCUAGCUUACCGCCCCAAGUUACUCAUAGGCAAGUACCUUGGCUACAAUUGGAGCACGGUCGUUGCCUCACCCUACGGUGAUCAUUGGCGCAACCUUCGUCGGAUUGGUGCCAUCGAAAUCUUCUCAUCCAGUCGCUUGAACGCCUUUCUAAGCAUUAGAAAAGAUGAAGUCAAGCGACUGUUGAUGAAACUAUCGAGUGAUGAUAAUUCUGGACAAGAAUUUACCAAGGUGGAGUUAAAAUCUCUGUUUGUCGACUUAACUUUCAAUAAUAUUAUGAGAAUGGUAGCAGGGAAGAGGUACCAUGGUGGGGACAGUGUGACGGACGAAGGAGAGGCAAAGGAAUUUAGGGAGCUAAUGAAGGAGUCUUUUGCAAGUGGAGGAGUUGCCCAUCCAGGGGAUUUUCUGCCCAUUUUGAAUUGGAUUGGUGGAAGGAGUUACUUGAAAAAAUUGAUGAAUCUUGGAGAGAGGAUGGAUCGGCUUUUGCAAAAGUUGAUUGACGAGGUUCGAGCUAAGAGGCAAGGGAAUACUAUGAUUGAUCAUCUUCUUUCUUUGCAACAAACUGAGCCUGAUUACUAUACUGAUCAACUUAUCAAAGGCCUAAUUCUUGUAAGAGCCCUGACCACUACCUUAAAUUCUUAUGUUUUUUAUUUUAGAAAGAGGAGAUUUCAAUCCCACUUUUUGGCAAGCUAUAUAUAUAUACUUAUCACUGAAAUCAAAUACUCAAAAAUGCUAUAUUAAUUUUAAUGUUUAAUAAAAAAACCCAUAGUAAUUGGAUUUAGGGAUAAAAUGAAUAUAUAGUUUUGGCUUUGCAAAGAACAUUUUAGUUAAUCCCUUGUUUUCUUCCUUUAGGAUGUCAACCUCUAAUCAGAAAUUAAAUUUAGCCUUCUCUAAGGGAAAAAAAAAAUCAAACUAGUAAUGGGACUUUCGUGAUGAGAGCUCUAUAUAUAAUAUUUUCAAUUGUUUGGUGAACGAACGAUGGACAUUUUGAUGAUUCUAGUGAAACAUUAGCUUUAUUUGGGUUGAAUUAUAUUCAGUCCUGAGGCAAAGAAUUUUGUCCCACUCCAAUUUUCUUAUUAUUCAUUAAAACGGACAAGUGACGGUGAAUGCAGAUGGGCAUAGGUAACAUCCAAAAGCCAAAAAUAUAAAAUAUGUCCGACACGAUUUCUACUGCUCAAGAAUCUUCAAUCACAGUAACUUUUUGUCACGGGCAAAGUAAAAUUUUCAGCUAAUCGCAACUAGCUAGUAAGACUUAUGUUUUAGUGUCUUCGGCAGGAUUGCAAGGUUAUUAUUUUCUUUUUUUGGAUGAAAUUGAAAGGUUAUAUUAAAUCAAAACAGGUAUCGACAAGAAAAAACUAAUAAUUAAUGGAUGCCCAAACUAUUUUUUUUAAUUAGUACCUCAGAAGACUUUAUUGAUCUUAUCGAUUCGCAAAGUUUUUAUUUGGUUUAGGAAAUUGCACGUGCAUGCAAUUAUUAAUAUAUUAAGAAUGGUUUCCUCUCAGUCAAAUAGCACUGGAAUUUGCCAGUGAGGGAUGAGUGAUGGUCCAAGAUUGACUCAUGAUAGGCAUCCAGUCAAAUAGCACUGGAAUUUGCCAAUGAGGGAUGAGUGGUGGUUGAAGAAGACUCAUGUUAGGCAUGGUUCAAGCCAGUGGAUUGUAUAUGUGGACCACUUUGGAACGGAUCCAAGUCAAUGAUUCAUAAAAUCCAAAUUUUGUGGAAAGAGUUUGCUUGAGUCUGUAUUAAUUGGAAGGUAUCACGGCUGACACCACACGAUGGCUUAUCUACAAAAGAUAAGUCCGUGCUCUGACAAAAAACAUAAUGAGCUUAUAUUAAUUAGUUUUAUGAUACUUGUUGACCUUUCUCUUGCAUUGUCUUCUUUAGAAGAAAUAUAGAAUCCAUUCAAGAAAGUGUUUUAUUUUAACUUGUGUAUAGAUAUUAAUCUUCGUGAGAAUAAAAUUUACAGGUAGAAAUUAUAUAUUGUGUAGGUAAUGCUGCUAGCCGGAACUGAUACAUCAGCAGUCACAUUGGAAUGGGCAAUGUCCAAUUUACUCAACAACCCAGAUGUAUUGAAGAAAGCUAGAACAGAACUGGAUAGUCAAAUUGGUCAAGAAAAUUUGAUUGAUGAACCUGAUGUUUCCAAGCUACAAUACCUUCAAAGUAUCAUCUUUGAGACCCUUCGGUUGAACCCUUCAGUUCCUCUCCUACUCCCACACAUGGCGUCAACUGAUUGCAGGAUAUGCGGAUACGAUGUGCCACGUGACACGAUCGUAUUGAUCAAUGCAUGGGCUAUUCAUAGAGACCCGACAUUGUGGGAUGAUCCGACAAGUUUUAAGCCUGAGAGGCAUGGGAAUGGAGAGAGGGAAUCAAACAAGCUGAUGCCUUUUGGAUUAGGAAGAAGGGCGUGUCCUGGAGCUGGCUUGGCUCAACGAGUUGUGGGCUUGACCUUGGGCUCAUUGAUCCAAUGUUUUGAAUGGGAAAGAGUUAGUGAGAAAGAAGUUGACAUGGCUGAAGGUAAUGGAAUCACCAUGCCUAAAGUCGUGCCAUUAGAAGCCAUGUGUAAAGCUCGUCCCAUUGUCAACAAG